RNAcentral lists this long non-coding RNA (49529 nucleotides) under Vitis vinifera (wine grape). Its description in RNAcentral is "long non-coding RNA (VVIN_LNC004465)". Lineage: Eukaryota; Viridiplantae; Streptophyta; Magnoliopsida; Vitales; Vitaceae. The record is from RNAcentral.
UCAGAUAACCCAUAACAAAGGAUAGAUCUUCUCCACUAGGCUAUCCUCUUAGGGCUUUUCCUCAAUCUAAGGAAGAAGGUAAACAUCAUAUCUGAUAUACCUCUUGGGACAAUUGUAUCAAUUCAAGAUAAUAAUGCCCUCUUAAAUUCAAUGCAAGGGGUGAAGGCAUGUUUGGCUGAAUUCCUCAUACAAAGAAUACAACAAUCAAGGCUAUUGGCUUUAUGGGGCCUUUUGUACUAAAGUAAAUCCCCUCUCAUAUAAAGGAAAGGAUAUUCUACAAGAAGAAAAAAAACAUGAAGGAAAACAAACAACCAGCCUCCAAAAAGGCCUAACUAAAAAAAAAGGGGAUAAACAGAAAAUACAUUAGAGAGAAUAAAAUUCACAACAGACUCCUCUGACAAAUUAACCUUCUAAUUAAUCAAACAAUUUGCUUUCUGAUUAGCCAACCUUAUUUUCCAAGUGAAGGAGCACCCUAGACAUUUGAAAGGGUUGACAGUCGUCUAUGGUUGAGAUCAUAUCUUGGAGGUCCUUUCUUCCCUAAAGGCAUUGAAGAAGAGAAAAGUCAUUGAUUCUUCCUUUACCAAAAGGUGACUAGCUCUUAACAAGGAAGCCUCAAUCAUAUCUUCCAUUAAGUUAGAAUCUUCAUUCAAUCACUAAAACAAACAACUAAAUUUGGAUAGGACUACUCAUUUUUCCCCUGUAUAGUCUUUGAGCAAUCAACCAAUUGCCAUCUGCCUUGAGUUUUCUUGAACAACCAUCAAAGUGCAGUUUCAGGCUGACAAAAAACCUCUCCAUUGUCCAACAUGAUCAAACUAAUGGAAAUGAUCUAAACCUUUUUAGUGAUGGACACCUAAGAGUAAAAAUCUUGACAUUUCUCUCAAUCUAAAUCUCCCAAACAGUGGCUAAUAUAACUUUCCACCACAACAUUGUCCUUUUAUGUUUCCCUUGAUAUCAUGUAAAGUAAUAGGCAACACAUUUGUAAUAUAUCUCGGGGGAUCCCAAAAACCACUAAUCAAAAGGACUGACUUCUACCACAAUCAAAGGCUAUAGGAUAGAAAAGGAAAGCAAGGUGAGAAGUCACCCCAAUCUCUAUGAUAAAGAAAAAAUGGUUAUGACUGAUAGCUUCGUAGCAAUUCAUUGGUAUUCACCUUCUUGCCAACCCUUAAACAUGUGAAGGCUCUAAUUUAUGAAAGAAUUUUAGACUUUCCAAUAAAACUUGUGACUCGAGAGAAGACUCUUGGAUUGUUACUUUUAAAGUAUAGGAGUAACCUACAAAGGAGGUAGACAUGAGGUUAAAGCAAGUAAAAGGGUUGUUCUCACACGAUAGAGCCUCCUAAAACUAGAUUUUCAAUCCAUUACCAAAAAUGGAUGUAACAUUUUUUUUAUUUUGAUUAAAGGAAACUUUGUCUAUGGCUAUUAUUUUAUGCCAUUUGUUAGAAACUCAAAAACUUUUCAAUGAAGAUUGGAUUCCAAGUCUUAAUGUCAAAUCUUUUCUUUUACAAAUAAAUAAAACAAAAAAGAAAAAAGAAAAAAGAAAAAGAAAAGAAGUGUAAUAAAGAGAUUAAAAAUAUGUAAAGAAUGAUGAGAGAUCCUUCCAACAAAAAGAACACAAAACAAAACAAGAAAAAGCUAAGAACUUGAUUUGCAAUCUAUUGAAAGAAUGCUAAAAGGAAUUCUAAGAACUCCCUUAAUAAUACACAUGUAAAGAUUUGUGUAGUGACAAGAUUUUUUCAAGCAUCUUCCCUUGAUCUCCACUUGUUAUUAAAAAUCCAAGUGUCCUCUAUAUAACUUAAAAAGUAAGAAUAGACCUUCUCCACAAGGCUACCCUCCUAAUGCCUUUCCUAAAUUUAAGGGAGAGGAUAACCUAUUAGGAUUCUAGCUAUACCAAUCUAAGGUGAUUCCUUAGAAAAGGGGGGUUGGGGGUGAAUAUGGUGAUGACCUCUUUUUUCAAAUUAUGAGAAAUUAACUAUGAUGAAUGUAAGAGACAAAUAAGUAACAAUAUAAUAAAAACAGUAAAGAACAAUUGCAUAUAAAUAAAGAAAGUAAGGAAUAAAGAAAAUUCAAACUCAAAAUUUAUAGUGGUUCAACCUAAUCUCAGCCUACAUCCACUCUCCUCUAACUUCAAUCCUAGUUUGAUUUCCACUUAUUGAGGCUUCCAAACCAACCCUUCAAGCUUUAUACUUGGAUUAAUUGACUUCAAUGGGCACUUACAAUAUUCCUCAAGAGAUAUUUCACUCUUGAACUCUGUAAGUGAUGCUUCAUAUUUAGAUUUUUCUCUCCAAUGAUAUCCCACACUUAAACUCACCUUACAAGAAAUGAAUUUCUAAAUACAAAUUCCUAGUUUACAAAGUUUUGCUCCAAAAAUACAAGGAAAUUAGGAUUAAGAGGUGCACUAAGAAUGAAAUGUAAGUUUAAGCUUAAUGCACUCAAAAUAUUUUCCUAAGGCUCAAAAGAUGAUUGAAUAAUAGUUAGGAACUUUUUUCUCUUUUAUAAAUGAAACAUAAAGCCUUUAUAUGGAAGUUAAAAUGUCAAACUAACUAUUAGAAAUAAGCCUCUUUGAAUCGGAUGUCCAUGUGGUCAUUUAUAAUAACCUUUGGAGUAUUUAAUGAGGUGCAAAGAGCUGUUGAAGGCCAAAAGACAGAUAUGGACAUCCAUGUAGUUGUCCACAUUGCUAAGUGGUCAUCCAAGUGGGCAUCCACAUGGCUUCUAGUAGCCAAAAAUCACUUUUGAGGGUAAAUGGUUGUCUGGGUGGGCAUCCACUUUGCUUCCAAUAGCCAUUUUGUCCCAAAACAGAGUAAGUGGACAAUUGCCUAGACAUCCACAUGACAAUUGGAUGACCGCAUGGACAUCCACAUGACAACUGGAUGACCGUUUGGUCAUUCGCAUGUGCUUUAACCCAAUAUUUUUGAAAGUUCAUGUAUGUUUUAGGGUUAACACCUUUUUUAACUAACUCAUGUGAAUGUAGACGACCUUCUAACAAAGUCUUUAACUAAUAUUUUGAGAAAUUUUCAAGUUUAAAGCACUUCGGUCAAGAUAAUAAUGUUUUUAAAAAACCUGUAAAGAUUUUCAUGAAAAGCUUGGGUUCAAGGUAGUCUCCUACGUUAGGUAGGUCUUUUUAUCCUCAAAAUAACUUUCAUCCAAAUUAUAAAAGUAUAAAAGCAAUCAUAAACUUAUGGAUGAAUUUUUAGGUGCUUAAUAAAAAUAUGCAAUUCUAACUUAGUGCAUCCAUCAUCUUAUAUAAAAUAUCUUAACAAUAAACUUGAUAAACCUUUUCUUGAAAUCCUUUUGAUUUUCUCUUUUGCUCCAUAUUUCUUCUUCUUUGAUGACUCUAAGGAGAUCUCCUUGCUUAUAAUAUGACCAUUAGAUACAAACUUUAUUUUGUUGUUAUCAAAAUCGAUAUUAACCAAACCUUGGUGUAACAUAUCUAUCUUACUUGAUACCUAUUGCAACAACCUAGAUAACAUCAAUCCAAGAGAAUGACUUCCUCUAUAAAUUUGAUGCAAAGGAGCACAAAAGGUGAUUAGCAAAUCCCCACAAUAGAGAAUACAACAAUCAAUGCUAUUGGCAUUAUAGGUUCUUUUGUGCUUAAGUAAAUCAUUACUAUUGACCUUAUUACAAACCAUGUAACUUAUAGGGAAGUUUUUGAGUUCCUAUUGGAGGGAAAAGAUAAUUCAAGGGCCACUUGCUUGUCUACACAUUGUAAGAGAGACCACCCUCCCUAUGUUAUGAGGAUUAAAAUUUACCCUAUGAAUGUGCUUUUGUCUAAGUUGAUCUAAAGGUCUGAUACUACGCUAAAGUUUGAUAAUAAGCAUAAAAUGGUGGACACACUCUUCUUUUAUGCUAGAGAUGAGGAUAGUAGCAUCUAAGAACUUCAAUUGUGAUACUCUCAGUCUGGUAUCAUUGGGGAAUUGCAAAUGUGAGACUCUCACUUUAUCUUUGUCACCCUCAACUAGACCAUAAACCACAACUCUACCAAUUAAUCUACCAAGAGCAUUGACCAUGACAACAAAUAAGGAAGGAAACAAACGUUCUCCAUAAUGAAUACCUUCCAACCCAAUUGUCCAACUUUUAGCAUUGUCCUUAACAAGAAUUGCAAAGUCAUUUGGGGAUAGAUCCACUUUUGCCACCUAAUAUCUCAUAGAGGAUAUGGUCUAGGCACCUCAACCAUAUUAUCGUGCCUUCAAAAUCCACCUUAAAGGCAACUCCAAUUGUGCCAGAUCUCCAUCUAUCAUUCACAAUCUCAUCUGCUAUGAACACCUCAUCAUGGAUUUGUCUACCUUUAAGAAAAAAAACAAUCCCUUUGAAAAUGAAAUGGUAUCAUGGAGCACCGCUUCAAGACACUUUGGGAGAACCUUCUUAAAGAUCUUGUAGAGAUUAGUCACCAAAAUAAUAGCUAUGAGCACCUCUGAUAAAAAAAAAAAAAAAAAUGCGGUAUGAGCACCUCAACCACAUUGUCAUGUCUUUUCUUCCUAUUCUAAUUAGAUGCAAUGGAGAAGAUAUCAUUAUUUGGAUAGCUGGUAAUAUCUAGUUUUGGACCAUAUGAUAUUAAUAUUGUUUCUAACUCAAAGUGACUAUAAAAUGUACUUACUGGUCUUUAUUUACAUGCAUUGCUAUUUGAAAUUAUGAAUAUGCAUUUUACAUAAUACUUGCUUCAUGCAUACAUAACUCAGGUGUAUACUUGAUUCACAUCUAUAUCUAAUUUAUGGCUUGUGUUUCUUCUGGAAAAUGUAGCUAUUGAGCUUCUUAUCUGAGAUUCCAUCUGUACGUCUUGUAGUGGUAAGUAAUCUUAGAACCUCAUCAUGAAAUGCUUGACCAAUAUAUAAAUAUGCUGAAUGCUAAUUUCCCAGUUAUCUUUCUCUUUUAUUUGCAUCUUGUUCCUACGUGGUUCAGGUUGUGGGAGGGAUUGAUGAACAUGUGCCCUCCCUUCCAUCAAAUUCUCAGGUUAAGCUUAUUUCAUUUGCAAAACUUCUUAGUCAGGUACUUCCAAAAUUUCCUCCCCUUGAUAUUUUUUUUGCUGAUAGAUUUUGGAUGUUGCCCUGAACCGAUGUCUUGAGUGUGUAGAAUAACAUAAAAUUAAGAAAGGUGUAGUUUAGAAUUUAACUUCUACAAAUACUUUAACUUAUGCCUAGCUCUUGAUUUCUUGUUCAUUCAAGGAAGUGUAACCUCAUAGCAUGCAUAAUAUAAGGAUGCAGGUAGAAUAGGAGGACAUCUGCUCUUGAGACAUGGGAUGAAGAGGAGAUUUUAAUUAGAUUUGCUCUCUUCUAAAGUUUGGUUAUGGAAAGAAAGGACAAUAUCUGAUUAGACAUAGGGAUAUGACGACUCCUAAUCAAAUUAGAAAAGACCAAAAAAUAAACAACUAAACUCAACUAUAAUAAUAAAUAAAUAAAAAGUUCAACUAAACAUAUGAAAUGCCAAAAUUACUAAACUAUUUUUGCUGAAUGCUUUUCCAUUUUCUUUUGAAGUCUUCAAAGGUUGCCUUCCACAUUGUUCACAACCAUAAACUUCUCUUGAAGCUUAAAUCAAAUGCCCAACAAAGAUGAGUGAAAGAGAGUAAAAGGAAAAAACCUCUGAUCAUUAAUCCCUCCAUGGAUUUGCAUCCUGAUGUCUUCUCAGCUAGAAGGUCAUGCAAGCUUCUAUUACCGUUGAAUAGCAUAAUUAUGGUGUUACUAAUAUUUAACCUUUUAAAUGUUUUACUGGCAAUGUAAAUCAAGAUUUUUGGGAUAUAAAAAUUGAAGACAACCAAGUAGCACUAUUUCAUGCGUAAUAUUUCUUAUUUGUGACAUUGCUAUCAAUAUCAAGUACCUAUUCCUAUUUUCCUGCAUGUUUCCUAUAUCCACUUGAAUAUUUUUAGAAUGUUUUUUUAGAAGAAAUGUCUUGCCUAUUUCUUUAGAUUCUACUAUUAUUCCCCACCUAAACUAAUAUUGCACAUAAUUGAUACAAAAUGCUGCUUUAGAUUUUGAAUGUCAAUUUAUAUUGAGAAGCUAAAUGUUUCAUUGUGGUAUGAAUGGUUUCUUUUAGGGCCACAGUGAUCUUCAGCCAUUUUGUCCUCCCAAGCCUGAAGACAUUGCAACCAUAUGCUACACGAGUGGUACUACAGGGACGCCAAAGGUAGUGCAUUUGUGGUUUCUGAACUUAAUUUCUCAGGUCUUGAAGCUAAAGCCUCCUCCUUCUAAUGAUUUGGGUGCCUACAUUUCUUACUAGUCUCUCUCUUCUUUCUUUUCUUUUUUGGGAAAGGGAGUUAUACUGACACAUGGAAACUUAAUUGCAACUAUUGCUGGUGCUAGCCUUACCCUUAAAUUCUGCCCCUCGGACAUGUGAGUUCUAUCAUUCAAAUUGUUGUACGAUAUCAGGAAUAAUUGUUUCAAUAGAGUUUGACCUAACGGGAGUAGAUAUUUCUUUUUAACUAUCUUUGUUGAUACCCGUGCUAUUUUUGACAGUUACAUAUCAUAUCUUCCUUUGGCACAUAUCUAUGAACGAGCAAAUCAAGUUUUGCUGGCAUACUAUGGUGGUGCUGUUGGCUUCUACCAAGGGGUAUCUUUUAUAUAUAUAUAUAUAUAUAUAUAUAUAUAUAUAUAUAUAUAUAUAUAUAUAUAUAUAUAUAUAUAUAUUUAUUUUCUGCACAGGAAGCAAGAAUGUUGUAUAAAGGGGAAAAGAUGUGUUGGAAUUGUCUUGAAGUUCUAAUUUGAUUCAAUUUCUAAUUUAAUGAAAAUUCUUUUUCAUAGAGAAUAGUUUAUGAAUAUGUCAUUUAUGAUAUUUCCUUAUGAAAAUAGAUGUCUUUAUUAAAUAAAGAAAGAUGAGAGGAAUAUAUUUAUAAAUAUUCUAGGUCAUAAAGGAAUCGGGGAUGAAGCGUGGUCUGUGAAGCCGACCAAGCGGGGAGGUCAGGGGUGAUGCGGAUGCACGCACCAGGGCGGAAGUGGAAGAGAUGGUGUGUGCGGGGGUCGAGGAGCAGUGUCGGUCAGUGGAUGGGACUGGACGGCAGGCGUAGGGAGUGGGCUUCGACGUGACGGGCCCCUAAGCUCAAGUGGGUCUGCUAACCCGGCCUUUCUCGGAUGUUGGGCUGUCGUCGUCAGGCCUGGUUUCAAAAUGGGCUACUGGGUUGUCAUUCCCCUCAGUGGGUAAAGCCUUAAAGGGGGCUGAGUUUGGGCAGUCGCGUCCCAUGGGCACGGGGUGGGCCGCAACUUCUGGGCCGGCCGUUUCUUAUAGGGAAAGGCUUGGCCCAUCUCAGGCCCAGCCUUUUGAAAGUGGGCUUCUUUUAAAAGCCUGUCCCCUAAAUAUCUCUGGCUAUAGCAAGGGAUGCAAUUUGGAGUUGGAGUUCGCCAGAUUCCGUGAGAAAUAAGUUGGGAGGAGGCAGCAGCCGGACUUACACCGCACAAUGGCAAAUAGUGUGCUAGAGGAAGAAGCUGCAAGGUAUGGGUUAGUUAUAAAUUCAAAGGGUAUAAGGGCACUAGGGUCUUCCUCUUCUAAUUUCUUUUAUUUUGGUUGGACUCCGAAGAGGGAGUAUUACGACUAUUCAGGGGCGCUAAGGGAGGGCAUUUAGGAAGGAAGUGGGUUACGAAAACCAAUUGCAGAUGAGCACGCUGAGAAAGGGGAUGGCUGUUGGGACUUGGUAGAGGUCAACAACGCCGACCCUUUGGAAAGGAAUUCGGGGUGGACUAUAGGCCAGACUGAAUCCCAAGAAGGAAGGAAGGAAAAACAGCUUAAUUAGGAGGAAAAUAGUCUGGUUAAGUUCAGUCAUUUUUUAGGCUUAUCAACUGAAGGGUUGGAGAAGGAAAUUUUGAACUUCUUGGGCAAAAUCAGGAAAAUGAGGGAGAAGAUACACAGUAAAGGUCUGCUGGAGAAUUCAAGAUUUGAAAGGGAGCUUAAGAGGCUGGAGUGUUCAAUUAAUUAUGAGGGGGAUGUUAAGAAAAAAGGUCCUAUUCAGGGCAGAGGGAACCAGAUCGCAGUUGCCCAAUGAACCUAAAAAUAUUGAGUUGGAAUGUGAGGGGAGUGAAUGAUAGUUCCAAAAUGAAAUUAAUUAAGUCCGUUGUAAGAAAACAAAAGGUGGAUUUGUUUUGUAUUCAAGAGACAAAGAUGCAAGUAAUGUCUAAAAGGGUGGUGAGAAGCUUAGGCCCGGGGAGAUUUCUAGACUGGAGGGCCUUGAAUGCUAUGGGAUCGGCAGGGGGUGUCUUGAUAUGCUGGGAUAAAAGAUCGCUAGAGAUUUUGGAUUGGGAAGAGGGCCAAUUCUCCAUCUCCUGCAGAUUCAAGAAUAUGGGAGAUGGUGUGGUCUGGGUGUUUACGGGGGUCUAUGGCCCUUUCUCCAGAGAAGAAAGGGAGUGUCUGUGGGAGGAGAAUGGAGCAAUCAGAGAAUUGUGGGAGGAACGUUGGUGCUUAGGGGACAAUUUUAAUACGAUCCUUUACCAAUCUAAAAGGAGUAGAAAUGGGAGAAUCACCUCAGUUAUGAGGAGAUUUGCCCAAAUCAUAAAUGAUUUAGGGCUAGUUGAUAUCCCAUUACAAGGAGGAUCUUUUACCUGGAGUGGGGGGCUCAAUAAUCAGUCAUGGGCUAGGUUGGAUAGAUCCCUUGUGACCCCCAGUUGGUUUAACUAGUACAGUAGGGUCUCUCAAAGAAGACUACCUCACCCUACCUCAGAUCACUUUCUUGUUCUUCUUGAGGGGGGUGGGCUAAGAAAAUGUCCUUCCCCAUUCAGAUUUGAAAAUAUGUGGCUCAAAGUUGAGAGGUUCAAAGACCUAAUUGGGGGUUGGUGGCAAGGGAUUGUGGUUAGAGGCAGUCCUAGCUACAGAUUGGCUGUUAAGUUGAAGGAGUUGAAACAAAAUCUAAAAAUUUGGAACAGAGAGGUGCUCAGAAGUUUGGAGAGAAAUAAAGUUGAAGCUCUCCAACAAGUGGAGCUUUGGGAUUUAGUGGAAGGGGAGAGAAGCUUAACAGAGGAGGAAUUAAGCCGCAAAAAGAAAGCAAAGGAGGGUUAUGCUAAGUGGGUGUCGCUAGAAGAAACCCAUUGGAGGUAGUUAUCAAGGGAAUUAUGGCUAAGGGAAGGGGAUAGAAACACGGGGUAUUUUCACCGUAUGGCUAAUGACCAUAGAAGAGUUAAUUUCCUGAAUAAAAUAAAGAUAAAUGGGGUGAGGCUUUCAAAGGAACAAGAAGUGAGGGAAGGGAUUGCAAACGCCUAUCAGCAGUUGCUCUCUGAUAGUUUUGGUUGGAAGGCAGAUAUAGGGGGUCUGCUGCUAAAGCAGAUCAGUUAGUCAGAAGCAGAAGUCCUGGAGCUCCCGUUUUCUGAGCUUGAGAUUCAUGCAGCCUUAAUGAGGAUGAAUGGGGACAAAGCCCUAGGUCUGGACAGGUUCACGGUGGUUUUUUGGCAAAACUGCCGGGAGACUGUUAAGAAGGAAGUUUUGGAUAUGUUCAAGGAGUUCCAUGAGCAGAACUCCUUCAUUAAGAGCCUAAAUAAUACGUUUCUGGUUUUUUUACCGAAGAAAGGAGGGGCGGAGGACCCAGGCGACUAUAGGCCCAUCAGCUUGUUAGGGGGAUUGUACAAAUUGUUGGCUAAGGUGCUGGCCAACAGGCUUAAAAAAGUGAUAGGAAAGGUGGUGUCACCCAAUCAAAAUGCAUUUAUUAAGGGGAGACAGAUUCUUGACGCCUCCUUAAUCGCAAAUGAGGUAAUAGAUUCAUGGCAAAAAAUGGGAGAGAAAGACCUAAUUUGUAAAUUGGACAUAGAGAAGGCGUACAACAGCAUCAAUUGGCAAUUUUUUGUUGAAGGUUAUGCAAAAAAUGGGAUUUGGGCCAAAGUGGUUGGGAUGGAUGUGGAGUUGCAUAUCUAUUGCCAAAUUCUCAGUGUUGGUGAACGGUGUGCCAAUUGGAUUUUUCUCAAGUUCGAAAGGGUUGCAUCAAGGGGACCCUCUAUCCCCCUACUUGUUCGUCAUGGGAAUGGAAGUGCUAAGUGUGCUUAUCACGAGAGCUGUUGAAGGGGGUUUUAUCUCUGCGUGUAGCAUUUGGCGAGGUAGAGGGUAGGCUGUCAAUAUAUCUCAUUUACUUUUUGUGGAUGAUAUAGUAGUUUUUUGUGAGGCAAGGAAAGAGUAUUUAACGCAUUUGAGUUGGAUACUUUUUUGCUUUGAAGCGGCUUCAGGGUUAAAGAUUAAUUUGGACAAAAGUGAGGUUAUUCCAGUAGGGGAGGUGGAAGAGGUGAACAAGAUGGCUGUUGAAAUAGGGUGUAGGGUGGGACAGCUGUCUGUCGUCUACUUGGGGCUAACUUUAGGGACGCCUAAUAAAGCCACUUCCGUGUGGGAUGAGGUGAAGGAGAAGGUGAGAAGAAGACUUGCCCUUUAGAAACGCCAAUAUAUUUCCAAAAGUGGGAGAAUCACUCUUAUAAAGAGCACGUUGGCCAGCAUACCCUUGUAUCAAAUGUCUUUGUUCUGUAUGCCAAAAUCAGUGGCAAGGAGGCUUGAAAAGUUACAAAGAGACUUUUUGUGGGGAGGGGCCAAUGGGGAAAAAAAAGCACACUUAGUCAAGUGGGAGGUGGUGUGUGCGGAUAAAGAAAAGGGAGGGCUGGGAUUAAGGAAGCUUGCUUGUUUGAACAAAGCCUUGCUAGGCAAAUGGAUUUGGAGGUUUGCUCGUGUUAAGGAGGAUCUUUGGAAGAAGGUGCUUGAGGCAAAGUAUGGGCAAGAGGAAUUUGGAUGGAGGACAAGGAAGGCAAAUGGGGUGUUUGGAGUAGGGGUUUGGAAGGAGAUUUUGAAGAAAUCUGAUUGGUGUUGGGAAAAUAUGGUGUUCAAGGUGGGAAAAGGCAAUAAAAUCAUAUUUUGGACAGAUCCUUGGUGUGGGAAUAAUGUGUUAUCCCAAAGUUUCCCAAAUCUCUUUGCCAUGGCUGCCCAAAGGAAUGCCACGGUGGAGGAAAUGUGGGAUCAGAAUUUUGGCCAAGGCGGGUGGAAUUUAAGGUUUUUAAGGGCCUUAAUGACUGGGAGUUGGAUACGGUGGGCAACUUGCUGGUUGUGUUGAGGGAGCAUAGAGUUACGUUGGAGGAAGAUUCGGUGAUUUGGAAGGAAGGAAGAGACGGGCUGUUUAGAGUCAAGAGAGGGUACAGUUGGCAAGCCAUAUUGUCGCCGAGUUCCCGAAUAGCAAUAUAUGGGUGGAUAGAGUUCCAACCAAAAUUGCAUUUUUUGCAUGAGAAGCCGCUUGGAGGAAGGUUCUCACUCUUGAUAGGCUUCAAAGAAGAGGGUGGCAGUUCCCUAACUACUGUUUUUUGUGUGGUUGUGAAGAGGAAACGAUAAAUCAUAUUUUAAUUCAUUGUACAGUUGUCAGAGUUUUGUGGGAUAUCAUUCUUGGGUUGUUUGGUGUUCAGUGAGCCUUUCCAGAAUCUGUAAAGGAGGUUUUAUUUAGCUGGAAGGGCUCUUUUGUGGGAAAAAAGAGGAAAAAACUGUGGAAGUCCAUCCUGCUGUACAUUUUUUGGACAAUUUGGAAGGAAAGGAAUAGAUUAGCUUUUUAGGGGAGGGUGUUAGCAGUUCAGAAGUUAAAAACUUCGUUUGUGUGUAAUGUUUGGGGUUGGGCUAAAUUGUACAUUGGUGUGGAGUCGAUCUCCCUUAUAGGCUUCUUGGAGUGGUUAACCUCCACUUAGGGGUUGGGGUGUUUUGUUCUUUUUUGGUUGGGAGGCCUUAGUCGCCUCAUAUACUCCCUGUAUGUUUUGCGGCUAUUUUGCCUCUUGAUAAUAUAUUCUGUGCUUACUUAUAAAAAAAAAAUAAAGGAAAAAGUUAUAAGAUGAAAAUGUGCAUGUAAAGACCAUAGGAAUGUGAAGAAUAGAUAGGAGACACCUUGUAAAGCAAGAAGACAAAUGAUGUUUUGGGACUCAAGUUCAAGGUGUAGAUAGUAGGAAUAAGAAAAUAUGUGUGUGUUUUGAAAUUGAGUUUUGUAUUUUUUUUUUCUUUCCUAUUUAACAUUCUCUAUAGUAGAGUGGAUUUUAUCUCUCAUCUAUUGAUGUAAUCAUAGUUAGCCAAACCACAUUAAAGCCAUGUGUUUGUAAUGUGUGUGGAUUAUUUUAUCUUUAUGUUGUUGCACUAAUAUGAGGCAUUAAAGCUUCCACUAACACAAUUAGAGCUAUGGUGAAGAUUUCUAGAAUAGCUAAGGGGAAGAUCUAAGACUUGGGAUUUAGCUUUGCUAAUUUGAACAUAAAGAUGGUACAAUAAUAUCCAAAAUUCACAAUAGAAUGAAAAAUAAAGUCGGAAUUUGUUGUUUUCUUAUUGGCACGUGAUAAAUGGAGCAUAUACUCAUUGAAUUUAGAGUAAGUGUAGCCUUUUAUAUUCUUAUUUGAUUAUACAAGGUGGAAACAAUGAAUGUCUGAAGUGUUUGGAUCCAUGGAUAUCUAGUAAAAGGCAAACAAGGAGUGUUUAUGGCACAUAAGGGAUUUGUGACAUGGACUAAGAAUUCAGAAGAUUAAGUUCCAUGGACCUACAACUGGAGAUGAAGUAAUCUUGUUUGUUAUUUCUUUUCUCAAAAGUUAAGUUUGUAAUUCAUGUGGUUCAAACAAGUUUCUAAAUGGAGUGCAUUGAUUAAUUACUCAAUGACAACAUAUUGAAUGAGUCAAAGUAUGCUGCUCACUUUACAUUGAGCAUUUUGCAUAUCAAUGUAAUUAAGGCUUUGGGCUUUCGAAAUAGGAUCAAAGAAGUGCUUCAAAUCAUUGUGAAGAAUUUCUGAAUUCCUUUAUUGAUUUUUUAGGUACACACCAUACACAUAUAUAUACACAAAUGACUGAAUAAGAAAAUAUCAAUCUAGCUUGAUUCUCUUCUAAAAUUAGGAAACUGAAUCAUCCUAAAUGAUCUCUCCUUUUUUAUUCCUAAAAUACUUUCCUAAAUUAAAACCCUAACUUUGAAUGCCAAAUUUCAACACAUUGCUAUUUGACCUAGACCUGUUCUAAAAAGGUAAAGGCAUUUCAAAUUUUUAUUGACAUGGAACGAGUCAAGGGAAAAGACAUGUAUAGAAGAGACAAAUGUAGCCAUGUAUUAUGAAAAGAUGGAAAUUUUCUCAAAUUCCUAUUCUGUUGAGAAUUCCUUUUAGUGGAGGAUAUUGUAUAGAAUAUUUCUUAUUUUGAUAUUUCCUUAUGGAAAUAAGUGUGUUUAUUGGAUAAAGAAAACAAAUAUCUUUAUAAACAUUUUAAAUCAUUGAGGGAAAAAGUUAUGAGAUGGAAACUUGUAUAUAAAGAUUCUAUACUAGUAGGUAAAUAUGUAAAGAAGUGAUAAAAGAUACCCAAUGGAGUGGGAAAACAUGAGAUGUUUUGGGGCUUAAAUUUAGAGUAUAGAUGCUAGGAGUAGAAAACAUUAAAUUGUUUUGUGACUAAGGGUUUGUAUCUAUCCUCCCUUUCCUCUAUAAAGUUCUUUAUGACAAAGUGGAUUUAUUAUCUUUCAUCUAUAGAUAUAGGAAUGGUUAGCCAAACCAUUCUAAGACCUUGUGCCUCUAUUUGUGGAUAGUUUUGUUUUUAUGUCAUUGCAUCAAUUUGUUAAAGCUUUUGUUGACACAAGGAAUAAAAAAAGAGAAGGGACAAUUAUUACAAAGAAGGAUAAGCUGUUUUUUCAAGCCAGACAAGGAAAAGGACAAAAAAUAAAACAACUUCCUAAGUGAAAAUAAGACGCCCUAAAACCUACAGAAUCACCAAUAGAUGAUGAUAUACUUUAGGGGGAGGAGUCCCCUGCAAGUUCCUUUGAGGUGGCUCUUUUCUUAGCCUAGCAAUCCACUGCAUUUUUAUACCUAGGCUAUGAAUCAAAGAAGCACCCUGGACCUCUUGAAGGUUUGUAAUCUUGCAAAUCCAAGAAUCAAAAUUCUAAGGUCCUUUCCUAUCCUAAGACACCCAAGAUAGAAUGAUAGAUGAAUCCCACUCUACCUGAAGGUAUCUAACACCCAAGAAGGACACUUUGAUUAAAAUUUAAACCUACCAGUGAAGCAAGGAUAUCCAUAUCAAUGACCAAACCAAAACUAGCUGGAUUGGAGAAAGCUUUGACAUACUGUCCCAAUGAUCUCUAAAUGAGAUACAAAUCCUCAUCUGCCUUAGGUUACCUAGAGAGCAGCCUUCAAACUUGAGGGGGUGUCCAUAUGGUUGUGAACUGGACAUUGCUUGUGAUCUGACAUAAUCAUAGAACACCAAGGAAUUCUUUAGUAAUUCACACCCAAAGAGUUGUGAGGUGGCAGACUGUAAAUCUAAAAAUUGAUCCUAAGUAAACACAACUGGUAAUCACAUAGUUAAAUACAUAUUUAAUUGCUUCACUAGAGUUUAAAAUGUUUUGGUUUAGUCUUUGUGCAAACUUUAUGUAUGAUCAGUUGCUUUUGUGUGCAGGACAAUUUAAAAUUAAUGGAUGAUUUAGCUGCUUUGAGACCAACAAUAUUUUGUAGUGUUCCUCGAUUAUACAACAGGAUAUAUUCUGGGUGAGAUCAUGGCUGAUUACUGCUUAAAUUAUUUACUUGGUUGCAUUUUGCAUGGUCAUUCAUCUGUAUCUAAUUCUGUUGAAUGUCAUAGGAUCAUGAAUGCUGUACAAACUUCUGGGGUUCUAAGGAAGACGCUAUUUAAUGCUGCCUAUAAUUCCAAAAAGCAAGUCAUAAUAAGUGGUAUGUGCAUUGAUAUCUGAAGCCAUUUCAUAUUAUAGCAUAAAGCUGCUUAUUUUCUCCUUUGUCUUUUAUUUUAUUUUAUCAUUUUUUUGGUGAAAAGGUGACAAUGGGCUAAAAAGAAAGAGGGAGCCCUCCUUCAUAACUAUAAAAUCUCAACAUGAUGAAGGCAAGAUUCAAAUCUCAGUGAUGUAGGAUAAGAGGACUUCUCUGUUGAUCUUAACUUCAUUUCUUUCCACACAGUAAUAGGCUCUUGAUCUAAAUGGUUGAUGUCAUGUAAGACUGAUUGUCAAUAAUGCUUAGCAGACCGUACCAAUUUCAUCUUAGCAGAACCAACAUGUUGAGUGUUGGUCAUGCCGUGCAAUCAAAAUUGUCUUCAAGAUUGCUGACAAACUAAGAAACACAUCAGGAUCUAACCUACCAUCAAACUCUAGCGCCUCUACCUUGACCUCCUUGGUGAUAUCACCUACCUAAUUGUGGAUAUAAUCUAGAUUGGUCAUAAUGGUAUUGUGGAGGUAAAGUCAAAAUUGUUGACAAUGGUAUCUAACUUGAGGUUCCCAGUGCCUAAGGGUAUUCCUAGGACCUUAAUUGACAAAUUAUGACCAAGACUCUCUCCCAUCUUCAUUAAUAGGUAUUGGGGCACCAAAAGCUUCAUCCUCAUAAACAUCAUCAUAUCAUCCUCGUCUAGGGCUCUAAACUAGAUUUUUGUUUGUGGGUGGCUUUUCUUGUGGUUAGCAAACCUGCUUGGGAAUCCCUAAAUCUUCUUUGAUUUGGGGAUUGAUUAGAGUUUUGUCUCAUUGUAGACUCAUUUAUUGUUUUCUCCUCAUAACGCUUUCCAGGAUCUUUUAACAAAUGACUUAGGCCACAACAAGUUUGGUCAAAAUAUCUUCAUCUCUUCUAUAUUGACUUGUAAGGUUGUCACAAUAGUUGUGAGAUUUUGAACAUCCCCCUGAAUGGUCAAAUGGGAUUGUUCUAAUUCAGUGACCUUCAUGUUUGCUGAAAACAAAGGUGAGGAAAAAAAUGAGAACAAAGAAAAAUAAAGUAAUAUUGAAAUAUAUGUGAAUUAAAUUAAUAAUAAAUUAUGUCUAGACUGGAUGCACACAAUUGGAAUUAAACUCAAAUAGAGGACUAUGCAAUGACUCUCAAAAGGACACAAGAUACAAAAUAGGUAUGAAAUAACUAAGGGUAAAUAUUUUUUUUUUUUCUUUUAAGUAAGGUAAUAGGUAAAAAGAAGUAAGAAAAUAAAGGUAAGAAUCCUAACACGUUAUUUGUUAGACCAAAGAACUAAACUAAAAGCACAAGUUUCUAAGUAGUAGGAAAAUUACCCCAUGAGACUUAAUGGAGUAAUUGAACCCUUAGAUUGGUGCGAAGAUUCAAACAGCUAAAACAUAUCCAAAAUCAACCUUGGUUAUAGGUUAUUUAAUACUUGUAGUUUAGUUGUGAAAAUUCCCUGGUGCAAAACAUGUACAAACUAGACCUGAGCAAUUGUUUAUUGCCUAUGGUUUAAUGCCAAGAAUUCCAAAUUGUUGCAGUAUAGUUGUGAGUAUAACCAUCACAAAAGGCAUCCAAAAUCAACCUUGCCUUGAUACCAAUUGAUGUAAGACAGUAGAGAAGAAUUUUGAGCAGAGAAAUAGAAGUAGAAGAGAGAAAUUCCAAAUAAUUAUGAAUAUUAUAAAUCAAAAGUUUAAAAUGUUUAAGAUCACUGAGCCUAUAUAUAGAGAGACAAUCUUAACUCUAGGAGGAAACUAAUUUUAACAAUAACAUAAGAAAUUCUGACAACAAUAAAAUGUUAUCAAUAAAUAUUAUUAACCCUAAAGUAGAUAACAAAAUAAAACAUUAUGACUUCUUAUAUUUACACUUACAUAAAUGCAUAAGUGAACAUCUUUAUCUUCAUCACCCAGGUUUCUGGUACGAUCCCCUAGACUUUAUAUCAACAGCCUAGUUGUGUCCUCUUUUUUGCUAUGAUCAUAAUAUCCAAAAACACUGUAGGGUAUAUAAUUUAAGUGAAGGAUAUUGUAACCCCUGGACUCUUCCAAUCCCUCCGAGGAUUGCACCAUUAGUGUUGAUUUGUUAUGUUUUUCAUCAAGAAAUUCCUCCAAGAACUCAUAUUUAGGUCCCCAGUGUAGUGUUCUCAAGUGGCAAAACCAAGGUCAAGUAACCUGGCACCUACAAAGUCUUGGAUGGGAAAUCCGGAUAAUUCCCUCUAGAAGAGGUAAGGAUUCUUAAUUUCAGUAGUGGGCAGUGGCAGUAGGUAUGACCUACUAUGUGCAGUUUCUUUCUCCCAGACAGCUGUGAUGAAUUUAGGGUUCAAACAGAGUGCAUUGGGAAAUAAAGUUUUAAAUAGCUCUAGAACAUGGGUGGAAAGUAUUGGGUUUAUUUCUUAAUUUGUUGCUGUAAUUGCAAACUAAAUUCACAAAUAGAGAGAUGUAUAUAAUAUUUUUGUUUGGGAUAUUUGGGUCUUAUGGUCUCUAUAUUGGUGGCUUACAAAGUGUCGAUGAUAUUAAAUUUAUUAGAGGGAAUAUUUAUGGUGCUUGUCCCAAUUUUUUGAGAUCAACAAUAUGAUCCCUGUCCAGAAUUGUCAAUUUAUCAAAAUAAAUCUCUUUGAUUGGAGUAUGAGGUCUUAAAUUUUGAAAUAUCACAAUUUAAAGAUUGAAAGGGGAAUGCUCAUAAUAGGAGGGGAGUGGCAGCUUUAAGGCAAAAGGCAUUAUAUCUUCAUUGGAUGGGACUUUUGGCUGAAUUCAACACAAACUGGAUUCGGAAAAUUCAUACCAUCAAUUGAAUUUUAAGAAAGGAAUGCUUCAAGCUAAUUUGGAUACAUGGUGCCUUAUGCUUACGAUUUGUAUUUUUCCCCUUUCUACUCUCCUUGAAAUAUUCUGGAGGCCAGAGAUAUUCUUGUUAAUCUCUGUUAGUUGCUAUAUGUAAAGUCUGAGCAAAUCUUCCAACCAAUGUGCUGAUAUCUAUACAAAUAAUCAGAAUGUCCACACCAUAUAUAGAUAUACCAUGUGAUAAGCAUUUCUAAGCUGUCAUGCAUGUGUAGCAUGUGGUAUUGCUGCUUUUGCUACUAAUAUGUUACACCACUGUCUUAGGCCGAAACCCAUCACCCAUGUGGGACAGAUUGGUAUUCAGCAAAAUAAAGGGAAUGCUUGGAGGAAGAGUCCAUUUUAUGGGUUCAGGUGCUUCACCUUUGUCUCCUGAUGUCAUGGACUUUCUGAGAGUGUAAGUUGAUUAUUCUUCUGAGGAUAAUGCAUUAUUGCAUGGUUGCUUGUUUAAAAGUUGUGAUAAAUCCAUUAUUCCACAGUUACCUGUUUAAAAGUUAUUGUUAUUGUUUCUUGUUUUCUAGAAGGAAAAACAAAAUAUCAGUAGUGACUAAUUAUGUUUUAUUGUUCCAUAAUGAAUGUACCCAUACAGAUGCUUUGGUUGCCAAGUAAUUGAAGGCUAUGGAAUGACCGAGACCUCUUGUCUCAUAAGCUGUAUGGAUAAGGGUGACAACUUAUCUGGUCAUGUUGGAUCUCCUAAUCCUGCUUGUGGUGAGCUGUCAACCUAUGUCUUAAGAAUAUAAAAAAAGGAACAAAAUAUAGUGCAUAGUCCAUGAGAAACAACAUGAUGUUCCUUGAGGGGCAUAUGGAUACUGCAUAUAUGCAUAUGAAAUGGUCCAUUUUCUAUUUUUCAUGGCAUCUAUGUUAAUUUGUUAUUCAAGUGGAAUAAUCACCAUUAUUCUAACAAGAACAAUGGGAUUAUGAUUUCAUAGAAACCUAAAUAAACUUACUGUUAAAUGAGGUUGACGAAAAAGCAGACUGUGGUUGGAGAAAAAGCAAAGAGACUCAAUUGCAAACCAACGGAUUCAAUAGGUUUACUUCAAAUGCUAUAGGGGAAAAAAUGUAAAGAUUGCAAUUUCAAACAGCAUCCAAACCCCCACUUUAAAUUGGGAUGUAAUUUGAAUCUAAUUGCCGGAUGUCUUUAAGAAAAUGGUAUUCACAACUAAUGAACUAAUUCACUGAGUUGUGUGGAUUCUGGUUGCUCCCUGCCCUUUUCCUCUUUCAGAAAUAAAGCUUGUGGAUGUUCCUGAAAUGAAUUACACCUCUGAGGAUCAGCCCUAUCCUCGCGGUGAAAUAUGUGUCAGGGGUCCCGUUCUCUUCCAAGGCUACUACAAAGAUGAAGUCCAGACGUACUCAACUUUCUUAUAUUUCUAUUUCUUGUAUUGCUUAUCAAAUACACAUAUUUCUUGCAAUUGUCACUCAUGUGUAAAUAAUGGAUCUACCUGACUCCAGUUACUUUGACAGGAAGGAAGUAAUUGAUGGAGAUGGUUGGCUGCAUACAGGAGACAUUGGGUUAUGGUUGCCUGGAGGUCGCCUUAAGAUUAUUGAUAGGUGAGAUUUUACAAUCUAUCACAUUUAAAGGACUUGAUACCAAUACUGCUUGUUUUAGAUGAGAAAUUUAACUACAUAGUUUCUAGUUCUUACCUAUCUAAAUUAUGUUUUCCCUCAGAGCAACUUCAACAUGAAAGACUCAGAGUUUUCUAAACCUAUUUCUGGGUAUGGUUUGGUUUGUGAAACAUAAAACACUGAUCAAAUUAAUGACACUGAUAUUUUUUUUGAGUUGGUAAUAGUGUGUAAAGUAUCAUAUUAAUGUAUUACUGUUGAAGUAUUAUUGUGGUGCAAUCAAAUAACCACACAAUUGCUUACAAAAGAAACUUUGUGAAGAGCAGGAACAUGCCAACUUUAAGUUAUGAAAUUUUAGUCUCUUAGCGAAAAUUGAUGGCCAACUUAUGACAGGAAAAAGAACAUCUUCAAGCUGGCACAGGGUGAAUAUAUAGCACCAGAGAAAAUUGAGAAUGUAUAUGCCAAGUGCAAAUUUGUUUCCCAAUGUUUUAUCUAUGGUAAGGCAGAUGGAGUUUACUUGCAGAUUGGGCCCUCCCCAGCUAAGUUCUCUUUGCUGACUGCUUAAUUGAUUUUAGGUGAUAGCUUGAACUCCUGUUUAGUAGCCAUAGUCUCAGUUGACCCAGAUGUGUUGAAAGAUUGGGCCACAUCUGAAGCCAUCAAGGUGAUUUCUUUCUUAUACUACACCCUUUUGAAAAUGCUUGCACUUUGAGAUUGAUCUCUUGCUCCAGGAAUUCUUCUUGAUAUUGUUUGAGCCUUGAUGUUGCACCAAAGUUGUAGGUGGCUGCUUUCUCUAUUAACAAAAUGAUGCACUGAAAUGUGGUUGUCAUUUUAUUGCUUACUGGGGUCUCCUCUGUACCACACAUAUUUCUCUCACUUGGAUUUUCCUGCAUUUUCAAAUACCCUUGUUCUUGUCGGCCCAAAACCUGUAGUUGGUUUGUGGCAAUAUUGAAAGGAAUUUUCAUUGUUUAAAGCACCCAUCAACUGACAACUCAUUCUUAUGGGGGAAGAAACAUUGGAUUACAAAUCCUACAAUGUCCAAGGUGUUUCAUUCUCUGUAUUAUGUGUCAUGGAGAAACUGAAUGCAGUUUUGUCUGUGUGAGAUGACAGACAAUAAAUUUUUUUUACUUCUUUGUGUCCUUGUGUUUGGGAAAGAUUUUCUAAUGUUUUGUGAUUGUUUUGAAAUGCAUUUCUGCAGUAUGAAAAUCUAGGCCAUCUAUGCAAUGAUCCAAGAGCAAGGGCAGCUGUUCUCACAGAAAUGGAUGCAAUAGGAAGGGAAGCUUAGGUAAUAUGUUGAAAUGUUUCCACUCUCUAGCCCUUCUACUCAGUCAGGAUAUUUAAUUUGCCCUAGCCCUUCUACCAUUGCCAUGCAGUUGAGAGGUUUUGAAUUUGCAAAAUCUGUAACUUUGGUGGUUGAACCAUUCACCAUGGAGAAUGACCUCCUGACCCCAACAUUCAAGGCAAGCUUCAUCAUUCUUCAAAUGGUUUUUUCCUUUCUUCCAUUUUCUUGGCAGUGAAAUAGAGUAUCAGGUGAAAAUAAAAAGUGUUUUGAGCUUUGCCUACAUAUUUUUCCAGAUCAAGAGGCCCCAGGCAAAGGCUUACUUCUCUGCUGCAAUAUCAAACAUGUAUGCAGAAAUUUCUACAUCCGACACAAAUCCACAGAAAAUGUUAUGAUGAUCUUGAUUCAGGAAGGGGGAAAGAAAGCCGAGCACAUGCAAGGUAACCUCUAAUGGUGAUUCCACUUCCUUACGGUAAGGCUCCAUUUGUUUGAUCAGAAGAGCAACUUUUAAUAGCUUUUGACAUUGUAGAAUGUCGAUCUUCAUCCAACUUUCCAUUGAAUAGUUAGAAGGCUGAAAAUAUCAGAUUGAAACUGGUUACCCUUUUUAUGCCAAAUCCUUCACCAAAGAGAUUUCAUUAAUAAAAAGUACGGAAACUGAGUUGGGUCUUACCGAAAUGAAAUGAAAAGAACACCUGAGACAUAAUUAGAAUCACACAUGCUUUCAAUUUUUCAGCACAAGGAUCAAAUACAACAAUCUCUACCAAAUUUGUUUUCUAAGCCUAAAACUUCGUAAUGACUCGUACUCUUCUUUAUGUGGAGCAUUAACUCAACAGUUCUGACCCAGUGCAGGGAUUUCUAGGUAGGCAAGAACUGAAGGGGGCCGACUCUAGCUACCCAGAAGAACCCAUUUCAAUAAGACCAGCUCCACAAACAGAAGAUGAAGUUGAAUCUGUCUCUCUCCUCCACCAUCCAACAUAUUUGACAAGUCUGUAAAAAGAAUUCCUACUAGUGGAGAAUGGAAAAGCUAGAAGAAGGAUUUCUCCAGUUUCCAAAACAAAUAAUUAUGAAUAUUGGAAUAAUUUUAACCUACCCCCCAUGGUUUCUCAUACAAUUUUCAUAUCACAUAAUUCCUGCAAUGGAGUGUUCUGCAGAGACUUGAUUGCCAUAGCCUAGUGUUCAUUCAAUGGCUCUUCAUGAUCCAUACCAGCAGUUUGAUAUGACGGAAACAAAACAACAAGCUUUUCUAUUCAAUGUGGUUGCAUGGCACCUUCAUGAAUCAUAAGCUUAAAAAACUUAAAUUUUCAUAUUUAACUUCAUGAAUCAACUUUAUAAAUAAUAUUAUCUCAUCCAUUAUAAUACAUUAAGCUGUCUAUUGACUUACCCCAAAGAAGAUAACAGUGCAGAAUUAUAACACAUCAAUCUCGAGCAGUAAUUGUUACCAAAAAGAUUCAAUAACUUCAAAUGGGGGCGUGAAAAGAAUAUGAACAAUAUUCGUACUUCUACGAACCAAAAAAAUAGUGGGGCUUCAAAAUUACAACUUUGACCAGAUGCUAUGACUGGUGACAUACCACAGCCGUACAAGAAGAGUCAGUAUCUAUGAUCCACAGACCCAAUUCUUCAAGCCGUUUCUGAAUCAUAUCUGAGCCUAUUUCUGGGGACCAGAAAACCAUCUUUUUUCUAUUCCCCUGAGAGGUCUGAUUAGCAUUUCUGGAAUCAAUCUCUAAACCCAGGCUUCCCUCAUCGACCCAUUUAACCCUCAUGCCCUCCUGUUUGAACAACUCUCCCACUAUAUACACAAAUUUUUUACCUUCUGUUGUUGGUAUUCGACCUCUUCCCUUUUCCAGCACAGAAUCCACCAUUAGUGCCACUUUGUGAAUAAAAUCAUCGACCCAGAUCUUCCGGGCAGAAGAUGAGCUCCGGAUAAAUAAAAUUUCCGGGGUCUUCCCAGCAUGGAAGUCAUAGGUAGCAUCAAUGACAUCAAGAAAUGGGGUACUUCUGAGAAAAAGCAUGUUCCCAUCAACCACCCAAGAAUUGUACCCAGACUCCAGACACUUCUGGAUUACGUAGGCCUUUACUAAGAUAUACUUCUUGACCUCCAUAUCAGAAUCUUGGAGACUCUUCAUUUUAUGAGCUCUGACACUGCUGAGAAAUUGGUCCACAUCAAUCACAGGAUGACCCCUUCUAGCAAGAUCAAGAAGGAAGUCCGAAUUCAGGCCCAUAAAAAUGUAGUUCUGAAUAUUGAAACUCUCAAAGUGGCACAGCAAAUUCCUUAUGACUCUUUCAGAUGCUCCAAACAGGCUCACAAGUAUAAUGGUAUCCUGUUUUUGCACAGAGUGAAGAACAGAUCCGAGUUCUUCAAAACUCCUUACAACUGUUCCAGGAUGUACUUCUUUGAAACAGAAAUCAUACCACUUUAGCUUAGUCAGAGGUUGCAUCUCCAGAAGAUCAAUAUCAAGUGAACUUUCAUCGAGUAAAUAUGAAUCUGGACCAGCUGUUUUCCCAUAGUUGACACCAGCAUCUCUAUGAGAGACACUGAGUGCUCUUUCAUGUAGAAAGUUUGUGUAAAUGUUAAAAUAGCCACGAGAAUGAAUAAAACUAAUAAACCAAGGAGUCCAAAUUCUCUCACCCAUCUUCUUGUACCAUCCUGUUGUUACCUGUAUAUAAAUUUCAGUUCUUAUCAGAAAAUUGUGAUUCAAAUUGAUAAAUAUGCUUGGAUUUUUUUAUCUUCACUUCAAGAAAAAAUAAAAAUUAACUAAAUAAGAAUACAAUGAGAAAGACAAAAAAUUACCAUCCCCUGCAGAAAUGGCUUGAUGCCCUUGGCCUUGUGUAUAUCAUACCAUAAACGGAACUCUUUCCAAGGUUUUGGAAAGAGAAGCUGACCCCAAGUGCCAACCAGCUGGUACAAGAAAAUAUGUGUUUCAUCAUCCAAUUGAAUUUUGUUUCCGUGCUUACCUGUAGUCAGAAACCAUUUUAAUCAAUUACAGGCAACAGGAAAAAGAAAAAAAAAAAAAAAAAAAGCUUUAAUAGCAAAAAUCAGACAUACAAAGUGUAAGGCUGGUAGGAAAAAUGAUUUCCUGCGAAUAGAGUAGGAAAGGGAAGCAUACAAAGAUAAGAAUUUGUUUCAUCAAAAAAUGAAAUCCAGCUGGCACAUUUUUACAUGAAAUAGAAACGGGGAAAAGAAAGACAAUCAAUGAGGCCAAGGAUCAAAUGAACAAUGAAAGCAUACCGUACAGAGCAUUGCUACCAGCAAGAGCUGAUCCAACUAUGCCUUGAUAUAAUCAUAACAGCAAUGGUAUAUUUGAUAUAAUUGCAUUCCCUCCUCAACAAGAAUUUGACACAAUCAUAUAGUAAGAUGGAGAAACUCUAUGGUUUUAAAAAGAAAAAAAAAAAAAGAAUUAUCUACUGGACUCAUAAUAUCAUAAAUGUUUCCAAUGAUUCUGGCCAACAUGCAUGUACAUGAAUACCCUGCCCUGCACUUCAAUGGUUUGGGAAAAUCAAGAAUGCAAUUGAUGUUUACUCCUUCCUACUCUGGGACCUCCCUUUCCAGGAACAAGUUCUGUUUGGCCAAGAAACAAUAUUUUGAUUUGUUUGAAAUACUUUUUAUUAUAUAAAAUUAUUAGUUGGAUUUUCCAUUCGAUACAGCCUCACAUUAGUCAUCACAUAAUUGACAGAUAACAAGACUGUUCUUGCAGCACAGACCUAGUCAAUCCAAAGGUUGUAACCUCAAACUGGGCUUCCAGGGCGGUUUUUGCUAUUGUUUCUUUCCUUUUUUUCUUUUUUAAUAAAUAGGCAAACAGGAGAUAUAUUAAGCAGCACCUAACAAAAAAGGGUGCAUCCUAUGUACACAGGUGGUGUACAUUAGGCACCAAAAUAAGAAAGAAAAAGCAAAAAUUUUCUAUUAGGCUUCCUGGGUUCUGCUCUGUUCAGGAGAUUGUUUUGAAGAAUUAAGGCCAACUGGCCCUUCUUAUGUGGAACCUCUGCACAAUUCUGUGUUCCAAGAGGCCUGCGAGAUUACAUCAUAGCCUUCUUCUUCCUGUUCUUCUUCCACUUUUUUUAUUUUGAUAACCGAGGAUCCUUCCAUGGCCAAGCCCUUAGGACUUUCUAUGGGGACCCAAACCUCGGGGUGCUAACCUCCCCGCAACAACCAGCACAAAAUAAAUUCAGGAUAUCAUCAAUGGCAGGAUUCAACCUAAAGACUAUAUGUCACUUACUAGAACCACACUAUCCAGUGUUCACCCAAACCAAUUGAGCUAACUUGGUGGGUCUGUUCUUCUACCGCUUACUUUAGAGAUCAUUGAGUUUCCCUCCACUAUCCUAGCUCAGUUAAGCAAUAGUGAGCUUCCCUCUACUUUCCUAGCUCAUAUUGAGAUUGUGAGCUUCUCUCUGUAUUUUCUUUAACCACCAUUGUAGCUCAAAUUAGAGAUCAUGAGCUCUUCUAGAAGCAACUAUUUGUGGUUCAGGAUGCAUGGAAAACUAAAUUGCUCCUCUCUCACCUCCUCAGCAUCCUUACUUCCAUCUGAUUUUUCCUCCCUUCACCAUAAUUAACAGAGUUUCUUUUAUAAUUUCACGUUAUUGACUACCCCUACCACAUGAAUUUUUCCCAGACCAAAAGGCUGUUACUAAAGACUAUUGACAUAAGAGCCCUAACCCAGAGACUGCUUGAUCUAUGAAAUUCCUUUCCCCCAUUUACAGCUGAAAACGUUCACUAUUCCAGAUCAAAAUGUUGAUUUCCUUUCCUUUUCUUUAAUCUUAAAAUUAUCUAGGAUCUAACAAGCUACACAGCAAAUCAUCAAUGAAUUCAAUUCCACCCAAUGAAGAACAAAACUCACAAACAAAUGCUUGAAUUUCCAGGCAUCCAAAAAAAAUUGAAAUAUUCCGUUCGUUUUUCCUCAAUUUUCUACAUAAAAUGGUACCUGGAACAAACCUUGGUCGUUGCAGCGAAGCCCCAUAAAUCGAAGGACUGAAAUUGGAGGAAUUGUAGUAAUAAUUCUGAAUCAAAGCCUUCAAAAACUUGUAAUAAAGAGGCGAGACCUCCAAAUCAUCCUCCACAACGAAGGCAAACUCGUGAUCGGAGCUGGGCCACCACGCCUCCAACCAUUGCGCCUGCAACCCCACAUUCCCAGUCCGGUAAUGCACCACCUUCUGCCCAAAUUUCCAAUCGAACCCGUCAAUGAACUCCAGAAUCCGGCGCGAUUCGUCCAACUUCUGAUCCAACAACAGCUCAGACUUGCCGACAUUGUCCGCGUGAGGAAAAUGGUCAACAUAGAUGUGGAGGUGGACGGUGUCGCGGCCGUAGUGGGCGGCGGCAAGAGAGCGGAGGCAACGGGAAAGGGAGGAGAGGCGGUCGAAGGUGAGAACUUUGAGAAUGAAAGAGAAAUUAGAGGGACUGGGAAUUGAGUUUAGCGAUGGAUUGAGAUUUGAGGGAAGAUUGAGGUGAGGAUUAGGGUUUAAGGAGUGGGAAGAGAGGUAGAGGUGGAGAGAGGAGUGGUAAUGAGAGUAGAGGAAGAAAGCUGAGAGAGAAAGGAGGAGAAGGAGAGGAAGAAACUGUCUCUUGGGUGCCAUUUUGUUUCUUCAGAUUUCAGAAUUAGGGUUAGGGAUUGAUACAGACGGCGCAGAGAAUGGAUCACAGUGACACAGUCACUUCUCUGCUUUGUGCUCCUCACUCUUCUCCACUCUGAGUUGUAGGCAUUACCAGGAAGGAGGCUUUAGGAUUAUUUCUUUAGACUCCCUUUGGCAGGCAUUUUAGCAAUCUCUUCAACCUAAAAAAUGCUUUUAAAAAAUUAUGGGGGCUAUUUGCUAAAAUUUUAAAAACACUUUUUAAAUUUUUAAAAUUCAAUUAUAAUAUUUGAAAUUAAUCGCAAUAUUUUCUUUGGAGAAAUACUCUAUUAAUAAUUUUUUUAAAAAUAUUUUAUGAAAAUAUACUUUUACUCCAAACACUUCAAAUGGAAGUACUUCCAAACACACUUAUUUCUUUUUAAAACCUACGAACAAAUGUAAAACACUUAAAAUGGUUAAAGAUAUUUAUGUUAAGAUACGACUUCUCUUUGAGUAAAAACAUAAAAAAAUAUUAAAUUUAAUAAAUUUAAAAAUAAUUUCAUCCCUUUAAUUAAAAAUAAUUUCAUCCCCUUUAAUCAAUCAAUUAAUUCUAAUUCUUUUCCAUAUUAUAUACUGCAACCAUGUUCUAUUAUCAUUCUCAAAAUGAUCCUCUAAGACCCCAUUUGGAUGUGACUUCCAAGAAAUUAAAAAGUUACUUUUCUAAGUUCAAUAAGAACUUUCAUGCCAAACAAAACCUAUGGCUUAAAAAAUAUAGUUUAAUUUGAAAACCACAAUAACAUUACUUCUUGUAAAAACCCAUUUUGACUUGUAUAAAAUAGUGACUUUGACUUGUGUCUCAGCUUCCAAUUAAAACCAAAAACAUGAAACCAUCCCAAACAAGGCCUUAACUCCAACAUUCAAGAGAAGCUUCAUCUUUCUUCAAAAGCAUUAACUCAACAGCUCUGACCCUUCCUUUCAGGGGAAGUAUUCCCAGUCCUGGGAUUUCUAGGUGGGUAAAGUACCCAGAAGAACCCAUUUCAAGAACCCAUAAACACAAGAUGAAGUUAAACCCACCUCUCUCUCUCUCUCUCUCUCUCUCCACCACAUCUAACAUAUUUUGCAAGACUGUUAAAAAAAAACCCUACUAGUGGAUAAUGAAAAAGCUAGAAGAAGGAUUCCUCUAGUUUCCAAUACAAGUAAUUAUUAAUAUUGGAAUAAUUUUACCUACCCCCACCGUGGUUUUUCAUACAAAUUUCAGAUCAGAUAAUUCCUGCAAUGCAAUGGUCUGUACAGACUUGAUUGCCAUAGCCUAUUAUUGUUCAUUCCUUCCUUCAACAUUAUCUAUACCAACAAUGGCAGAAACCCACCAUGAGUUUGCAGAAGUUCAAGAAAGGGAUGAAGACCAGAUUCGAUUACUGUUUGGCAAGUGGCCGUGUGUUAUCCCAAAGCCAUUGACGUGCAGAACCAUCCAGUAACGGCGAUACCUAUGACACAAAUAAGGGAUUUUGCACUGUGAGGAAGAGAUCAUAUUUUCUGAAGACCCAUAGAAAACCCAUCUAUAAAAGUUUAUGUAGUGUUUUGAGAAUUCCUUUCUGAUAAAAUCAGAGGAGGUAAUAAUACCCUACAGCAUGAAUACUGGCUGAAAACUUGAUGGCCACUUACCUUCUCCCAGACUUCUGAAUGGUAAUCGUUGAGCCAAUCAAUCUCGGCAGUGGAGAGUAGAGAUAACUCAACCAAUUCAUUCUGCAUGACAGAACCAUAAAAUGUUAUUCGGAUUCAUAGAGCAUAAGCACCCAAUAUGUUUGAGAAAUGAUCUUAAAAUGAACUGGGAAUUGGUCCUAGUACAAAUCUGCAGGCCUGCAAAGCUCUUUGAUUCUCAACCAGACCAAAAUUUACAAGGUGUUUACUAGCAAAUCAAUGUUUUACCAGUUUUCUUGUAAGGACAUUGAUCAUACCUGAAUUGGAACAAAUGUGAGCUUUUCAAAUCCCAAAUAUCCGAUACCUCCAAAACGAUUUGGGGUGUCCAUCUCUUUAACACAAAGGAGAUUCUGCAUUACAAGGAAAACUUAGAUCACAGAAUUAUAACAGAAUGCAAAAAAAUCAAGGUAAAGAACACCAAUUACCAGGAUGGAAAAUAGAAGCAACAACUGAAGAGAAAUUAAUUUGCAUACCUCGAUCCGAAUACCAAAGGCAUGGUCUUCAUAAUAGCCAGGUUCAUUGCUAACAAUCAUGCCUUUCUGUAAAGGAGUCAUAUUUCCAAAUCGAAAGCUAAUACUUUGAGGGCCUUCAUGAACAUUCAAUGCAGCUCCUACACCAUGCCCAGUCCCUACCACACAAGAUUAAAACAGAAACAAUAAAUAAGCACAAAUUUCAAUUGAAUACAAACUACUGACAGGGAAAAAUAUUUCAACUGCACAAGUAAACUGAAAUGAGAAGUACCAUGCCGGUAAUCAAGUCCAAUCUUCCACAGAAAGGACCGGGCAAAUGCAUCCAAUACAAAACCAGGAGUAUUUUCAGGGAAUACUGCCUGAUCAAGAGCUAUAUGACCCUGCAAUUGACACCAUCAGAAACCAUCGAACUAACUAAAUUCUUAAACGCCAAAAUUGUUCACAGAACACUGUCAUAUAGUGACUUCAAAUGACAUAGCAGCACAAAUAGGAUGAUCAUAUACUGUGACUGAACCAUUAAAAAGGUCCCACUUAUGGAUCACUGCUGGCUUGGAGUAAUCUCGAAAUGAAAAAGCACUAAUAGUAUAUUCAAUCCAUGACAUGAUGCUAGAAUAUCACAAAGCCAUAAGAUACCUGACAGCCAUUUGUCUGAAUUGUCCAGUGAUCGGUCUUUUUUUUUGGUCAAAAGAAAUUAACCAAAAAAAAAAUACAAUUUUAAAACUAAUAAACUAUUCUAUAUACAAACUAGUGGGACAACAAGAGUGAUUUCCUGUAAAGUAUUAAAGAAAUAACAUAAUUUUAAAUACAUGAACAUGCAUAUAAGCACAUCUCCCACAUGCACAUGGAGGGCUUAAUAGCUUGAAAUUUGUUAGCCAACAAUUCAACAUCAUCCAUUUUCUUUUGCAUACUUUUUUUUAUUUAAGAAAUGUACCAUGAGCAACCGUAAGACUUCAUCUUUUAUUAAAUAGUAUGUGUCCAUAUUAUACAUUUAAGAAAGUUUUAGAAGAUGCAGCACCUGUAAAACUCGGGUGAAGCAUUCUUUUUGCCGUGGAGUAGGUUCGCCAAAAUGCACUGUCCUGGUUAUAUCGGUUGUUCCAUCAAUAUAUUGAGCUCCACUGUCUAAUAGGAACAUUUUCUUCACAUCCACAAUGCUACAACUAUCUGGAUUUGGUUUGUAAUGUAUGAUGGCACCAUUUGCACCCGAAGCUGCAAAAAUCAUUCUAUCCAUGACCGGUGAAGUUGAAAGGAAGAACCAGUACAACAUUUAUCAAAUUAGAGUCCAAAAUAUGGUGAUUAAGCAUCAUCAUUUAUGAAUUCUUAAUGCAGAUUCUGUAGUGGAAAAGAUUUCUCUAUUAAAAGUUGUAGCCAACAUGCUUUUGCAUGACUGCAAGAGAUAUAUCAUAGAAUCAUAGCAUUAUCUUCUACAUCAAAGGUAAGAACAAUGGAUUUAUGCCAAUAUCCAAUCACAUUUUCUGCAAGGAGUGAAAGCAUAAUUGGGAUACUGAUCUUUGUUUGGUAAACUCAAAGAAGAUUUUGUACAUAGGGUCUAACCCAAUCUAAUCCACUAAUUGCAUGAAAUAUAAAUUUCCUUGUUCACUAGGGUGUGAAUUACCACAUUUCCCAAACCAUGCCUUAAAAUUAUGAUGGAAUUUCAACCAAGAUUUGAAUUUAAACUUUUUGUUUGGGAAGUACAAAUUCAUCAAUGCAAUCUAACCCAAUAUUACAAGGGCAAGUACAUUUUAGAACAAUAAUUCCAAGAAAGGAUGAACAAUCUUUUUGGUUCAUCACUGAAAAGGAGAAAGGAAUGGAAAAUGAAAUAAGGGAAAAAAGGAACAAGAACAAUAUUCUUUUUAAAAUGACUUAUUUUUGUUUUGUAAAGCUCUUGUAACAUGAGUAAGAAUAUUGUAAACAUCUUGCCAAGUAAAAUUUUCCCUUAAAUCAAACCUGUUGCAUGAGGACAAUUUGGGUGGCCCCCGUAUUUCACUUUUUGCUCUUCUAACUCAUAGACCAACCAAAAGAACUAAGAAAAUAUCAAAAAUUUUGUCCCCUCCCUUCCCCUCCCCUUAUUAAAGGGAACACAAAAGAGAACAGCCAAAUGUCUCAAAAAUGAAAUCAUAUCCUAAGCCAGUAUGCCAUGAUGCAGGGAUCAGGCAUUUCCAUGACAGGACCAACGAGGCAAUAGCUGAAGAAAGGUUUGAUAUAGCAUCCCUCAUAUAGAUCAUACAUUUUGCAAGUUCUAUUGACACAUUUCCAUAAAUCAAAUUCUAAAAUCCAACUCUUGAAAGAUGAAAAUAACAAUAAUAUGUAUGCAUCUAUAUGUAGAGUAAGAUAUUCUAUUUCCAGUAGAAAGCUUUGAUUUGUUAUCGUUCGUUUGGAAACUUGGUUGAAAGUUACAAGAUCCUUUACCAAUGAUGAAGAAUCUCUGAUAUUGAAAUUGGAUUCUUCAAUGAGGAGAAAAAAUAUAAUGAAUAUAGAAGUUAGCGUACCACUUAUAGUAUCAAAGCUUGUAUCCAAGAAACCAGCCUGCAUAGAACGGAAUUGAAGAAGUUUAUCUGCAACAUCUACCUCUGUCAAUAGCACACCCUUAAGGAUUUCUUCUUCCAGCCAGGACCAAAACUGUGCAAGAGCAGCUGCAUCCCUGAAGAGAAGACAUCACACGACGUGUACUUCCUGAGUUUUUUUUUUUUUGUUAUAUAUAUAUAUAUAGGUAAAAAGGCAAAAUAUAUUAAAAAGCACAUGGAAAAGGCGCAUCAAGUGCACAUGGAGUAUACAAAACGGCUGAGAGGUAAGAGAAGGAAAAACAUACAAACACUACCCAAUACAAAGGCAUGGCCUGAAGACAAGAAAAACAAAUGGCACCCAAGCGACCAACCAACAUGCAGCCAAAACAUAACUGCUAACACCAGGGGAAAAUAGAGUUAGUCUUGACCCAUCCUUCGAACCACUUUUCCCAACUCUAGCUUGAACCCUCGGAAACCACUUUCCGGCUCUUUCUCUCUUUGCCACUUCACUGGGAGUAGUUAAUCAAACUCUCCAACUUCUAAAGCUCCCUAUCAAAACGAGAUGUAGACAAGGGUCCCCCUUAGUACCUAAAGCCCACCCCUCUGCACCCCCCCCCCCCUGUGUAAGACCAUUUUUCUGCCUUCUAACUUCAUCAAAAGAGAGGCAAAUUCCUUCUCAAACCCAUCCACAGGCAAACCCAAAUACUCACUGAAGGAGACAAAAUUCAUGAGUGAAGAAAGAUUUCCAGCUCCCAUCAAGUCCUUGCUAGGGCUUUCCUUUCCCUAAACAGGGAUUUAAUGGAAGGCUCCUGAAAGGCUGAUGAGAUUUUGACCUGUCUAAUGGCCAAUGAGUAUCUAAAAAUCUCCUUAGAAACUCUGAUAGGAAAAAGGAUCUCCUUACAUAAUGCAUCCCAAGGAGAUUACACAAAGAGGACCAGAGAAUUAAGAAUAAACCAGAAAACAUUUUCUGUGAUAAAAAAGUCCACUGGAAUAAAAGCUACAAUGAAAAGCAAUAAGCUUAACUCUAUAGUAGCUCAUGCAGUAUUGACGAUAACUACUAACAAAAUAAUUCAUAUCUGCAAGAAAAAAAUUUCAUUGAUGUUCUGCUCCAAAGGACUAAUUGAGAAAAACAAUAAAUUGAACCAGUAAAUUAAUCCUUACUAAAUGCAUACAUCCUUGAUAGUUUCCAUAUUUAUUAUCCAAAACUACCAUAUCAACUCCAUUUUUAAAACUUAAAUUUUAAGGUACAGUAUAACCAACAUACUGUUUAAACAAAAACAUGAAUUAUGCCAUUAAGCAACAAUAAAUCAAUCCUUUCUGAUUUGCCAUAAAGGGGAUUACAAAAUAAAGCCUAGCUUAUUUAAAUAUUCGAUAUCCAGAACUACCAACAACUAUACUUUUUAAACUUUAAUUUAAGGGGCAUUAUCGUUUACAGUCUGACACUCAUUCCUGAGCUUAGAAACUUAAUAGCUAGAAGUUGAUAGCAUAAAUAAGUUUCCAAAUAGCCGGAGAAAUUCAACACAAAGAAAUCAUGUUCUGGGGGAAUAUUUGAUUCACCUUAGAUGAGAAUUGCGCAUCCCUUCCAAUUCAGCCUGAUUUUUCACAGCCUUCGCCAGCAAAAUAGGUGAAAUCUUAUAAACUCCAGUGGGCACCCCAGAUUGACCAUUGGCGACUCCAUAGGCCUCAGACUUAUUUUUCCUCUUAUUAUCAAGGCUCCCAGAAUACUGGUCACAAGCAGCCUCGUAGGUGUUGACAAUAGCAGCAUUAACAGAGGACGUAUCCAACCAGAGGUGUGCCCCUUUCGCUGCCAAACUGAAGAAGCAAAUCAUGUUUUAGUUAAUGAAAGUAUGAAAUCUGUCCAACCCACUAUAUGUUAGAUAUCAGGCCACUCUGAAAAAAAUAACCCAAUGAUGGCAAAUCCUUGGUGUUAUACACAAGACACAAAUGCAAUUAGCAUCUUUCAUGCACAAAUAUACUUGUUGCUAGUUUUAUUCACAGCCACUAAGUUGCAGUCCAACACCUUGUAUCAGCCUCAGAAAUUUUACACCAAUGGUAGUGUCCUAGCCACAGUUACAAACCUCUAGAGCACAUCCAAAGUUAGAGUCCGGUGAGACUCUGAGGUAUCCACUAUAUAUGGAAAAUAAGCUACUUUCAUAGGUACCGAAGUAGAAUAAUCACUUGAGCGUAACAAUAUGCAAGUGUUCAUCAACACUGCACAAAUUUUGACACUGACAAAAAGUUUUCAGCUCCCAAACUUACUUCUUUAUUUCAGCUAGAAUGGAUUCAUAUGGUCUCAACUCUAUGCCUGCAUUCUUCAAGUGAUCCAUCACUUCUGGGCUGACUUUAGAAUCAUCAAUAAAUAAUUUUGCCCCAUCAAUCUCCACAAUUAAGUAUGCAUACAUAACAGGUGAGUUUGGAACAUCAUUUCCUCUCUGCAAACAAAAUUGAGAGUAUUAUUUAAAUUAAAGAUUAAAGGACCAAAACACAAACCAUUUCUGAAUAAUAAAUCAUAAAAUUUGCCUUUAAUGAAUAGACCGGAUUUAAAAAAAUGAAAUCCCGUAUGCCAUAAAGGCGGUCCUGUAUCCUAGACUAAUUCUCAAGCAGCCAGCUUUGAACUUUGUUAAACAGAAUUUGAAACCAUCCCAGGGAUAGAAGUCGGGGUUAUUAUAACAUAUCUAAGAAAGUUGGUCAGAAGGAUUACCAAGUUUAACAGCCAAGAAACUUCAUCAAGCAUAGAAACAACAAUAGCAGAACAACCAGCAUCAAUGAGUUCAGACCUCAGGGAAGACAAUUUUGAUGAGACAUCUAAACCAGCAUAUGUCAGCUCAUGCACUCUAAUUGGUUUUCUUGGAGGCUCCGGCCUUGAUUCUUUCCAUAUUUCAUCCACAAGAUUUAAAUCAUAUAGGUAAACCAAUUCAUGAUUCUUCUUAGCAAUGGCCUCUUUCAAUUCCUCUGCAGCAUCAGAAGAAAAAAGAAACUGCUCCCUUCACAAAAUCAAAGAGAAGGUGGCAUCAGACAGAAGCAAGUAAAGAAUAAAAAUAAAAAAUAAAUUACUUUACAGCUAAUAAUUUUUUUUUAAAAAAGAAAAAAGGAUAAAAAUAGAUGCAUAAGAGAGAAGAAAAAUGAAUGAAUAAUUUUAAGCCAUCCAUUUGACUCAAAAGCCAAAGCUAUAAGAUAGUGGGCCUAUAAUGUAUGUUAAGCCAACUAGGGUUAAAGCACUAACACUCCACUCCACUACACAGGCAACCUCUUUAAGCUUGCUUGUAGGUUCAAUAAAUAGGGAAAAUAAACAAGCAGCUGGUUUGAACUCAUGGCUCCCCAAUAAUCAAGGUUUUGAAACUAUGUUUGAGCUAACAAAAAUGAAGGUAUACUAACAAAUAGUGCCAGUUAUCAAGAAGGCAGAGAUGAGAAUUUUUCCAUUAACUAAUUGACCUCCACUGGGACCAGCAAGGUUUGUCCCAACUAUUUGGGAUCAGCCAUAUCAAUCAAAGCACAGCUGAUCAAGGUAUGCCAAAUUCCUAGGAAACCAGCUGGUGACAAAAGAGGGGCCUACAAUGAACCUUGAUCAACACUAUUUGGUGCAAAAGGAAAUAAUGACACGCAUAAAGCAUGCUUCUGAAUGCUUUUUACCAAAUCCUGACAUAUGUAAAUGAUACAUCUAACACAGGCUUCAUCUUAGUGAUGAAAAGUAAGGGUUAAAAUCCACAUUUUCAAGGUAAAGAUAGUUAAAAAUAAAAAAUAAAAAUAAAACAUAUACUUCAAUCAGAAGCACAUAAUAACAAGAAGGAGCACCCUUUUUAGGAGGUCUGAAUGUUACUCACAGGAUCAAUGCCAAUUCUGCAACCAGGAGCCAAAACAUCAUUAAGCCAUUCACUGGUUGUAGGAACUCCAUAGUUACCAGCCCGCAUAAGAAUCCAAUUAGAGCUUAACUGCUUCUCUGCCUAGUCAUAACCAAGAGAGAAAAUUACCAAUAAAAUUAAUAUCCCUCAAGCUACAAGAUAUCAAAAUGUUAAUAAGAGAAAAAUAAAUAGAAACUACAAAAAUUUGACAGACCUCCCAAAAGUAAAAUAGAAAUAAAUAAAGCUUUGAGACCAUGAUAUAUAUAGCUAACUCAGCAGAAUGUCUAAAAAGUAAAUUUAUAGUUCUUUUUUCCCAAACCUGGAGAAAAUAACGCCCAUCUGUCCAAAGAGCUGCUUUAUCCUUUGUGACAACAGCAGUACCAGCACUGCCAGUAAACCCUGAUAUGUAGGCCCUCCUCAUAUAACAUUCAGCAAUGAACUCACUCUAGAAGCCAAAAUAGAAGUGCUUCAGAAUUAAAUAUCCAGUUGACUCAACGACGACAAGUACUAUGUGGUAAAUGGAACCAAAGAACAUGAAUCCAGAUAAACCUCCAAGUGGAACUGGAGGCUUAAUUUGUUCCCUUAGAAAUUGAAGGUAAAAAUAUCACUAAACAGAGAUGCAAUUAACAGUAUAAUGGUAAAAAGUAAGACAAGCAUUUUUAAUGGUAUUUCUUAGAAUCCUGAAAAUGAAAAGGAUUCAGGAUUAGGAUGCAUGCCCCAAGCUUGAUUUGCACUAAUCUGAGGUUAGGCUUAAAAUAGAAGUCAAAUGAGGGAUAGACCAGAUCUAUCAUUGGCCACGCAACGCUCAACUUAAAGAACUAUUUGGAUAAAAUUCCCAUGUUAUUAAAUUAUUGGAUUGUGUCAUUGUUGCAUUCAUAAAUUUAUCAAACAAGAACUCCAUGAAAAAUUUAAAAAGGUAUGUGGAAAAAUAAAUAUAAAAACAGACAUCAUGUAAUUCUAUAAGACAUUGACACAAGCCUUUUCAAAAUCUACCAUUAUUAGAAACUCCAAAACACCAAAUUUAAAAACAAUUGCUCAAAAUAGUUAAACCCAAUUAUAAUUCAGCAAUAACAGACCAUUAAAAACCCAGACAAACUGGUAAGUUAAUUAAAAAUAAUAAUAAAUUAAACCCAAUAAGUGAAAUUUUCUCUUUUCGGAUCCCAAGGAAGAAAGCGGUAAAGAUUACAGGCUUUAAUUUCUUCUCCUCAUAUAGUUUUUUUAUUAAAAGUCAAGUAGCUCCAAACCACCAAGAAAAGAACAGAAAAAAUAUAUUGAUGAACCCCCAAAAUCAAAAAGUUCAAAAUAAUGGCUCAAAACACUUAAAAAUGGUAGACAUGCCAAAUCAACGUAUCCUGGUUAAGGUUUUUGCAUGACUUGAAGCUAAUAAAAAGGUUGAUACCAACUGCUUGCUUCAAUUGAGGAGGCCCUACAAAGCUCUCAACCUGGACCAAUAUCUUAUGACUUAUGUGUUUGAAGAGUAAUGAAUCAUUUGAUCAUCUAUUUCUUCAUUGUACCAUAGCAUUGGAAUUUUGGCAUGGAUUGUUCCAUAUUGCUAUGAUUGAUUGGGUACCUCCUGGAGACAUAGCAAAGACAUUAGGAAUCUCUUUUAAAGUCUUUGGUAGCCUGACAAAAAGGGAAGAUUCUGAUAGGUAUCUAAUGAAGGAAAAAUUUAUUAGUGAUAUUAUUGAAUUUCAAGAACAGGGCCAGACUGAUACAAGAUAGCUAUUCGGGAUGCUAUCACUCUCCCCCCAAACUCCCAGAACAGCCAGCUAUCCUGACCAAUUCCAUAUUUUCCUAUUUAAGCUAUUCCAGCUUGUACCAAGAGUGUUACACAGCCUGUACAAGGACUGUUAACACUAACUGCCAGUUUGCAGUACACUUCUCUUCCCUUUUCUGGACUACACAUAACGUAUACGAGGCCUAUCAGAUUCUUUGGCAAUUGGCUAUCUUAUCCUUGAUGUGGUUUUUAUGGUUGGAGAGGAGUGCUAGGAUAUUUAAGGAUUGAUGGAGAUUUGUGGAGGCUAUUUAGGGUUCGAUUUACUCUUUCCAUUCCCUGUGAGCCUCAAUCACAAAGCCUUUUGUUGGUAUUCCUUUGUAUCUCAUAUAGCUAGAUUGGAAGAAUGUCUGCAACUCAAAGAGAUCGAAUAUGAAGACUUAUGAUUGGUUGGUACCCUCUCCUAUAGGUUCAUUAAAGUUAAAGUUUGAUAGGUGUUUUUUGGGAAAUCCUAGGCCAUUAGGUAUCAGAGGAGUCAUAAAAGAUCAUUCAGGAACAGUACUAAAAGUGUGCUCUAAACCUGCAGGAAUGGGUUCAGCUAUUGAAGUGAACAUAUUAGCAUUAUUUGAGGGCCUGGUGCAUGUCAAAGCUUUGUGCCGAUCCAAUCUAACUAUAGAGGGAGAUUUUAAUAUAGUAAUUUCUUUGGUGUCUAAAAAGGAGAGAGGCUAAUAGAAGUUCAAAAACUGGAUCCACAAAAUCAUACAUAUUACUAAUGAGGUGGGAUGCUCCUUCUCUUAGGUUUCUUGUUCAACUAAUGAAUCAUCCAGGCAAGAAGCAAAGCACUUGGUCUCCUGUGUUGGAGAUUUCCUACCCCUUGAGUGAAUAAAGUUUCUUUAGUAUAUAUACACUGUCUUUUCUUUUGUUUAUGUGGAUGAUUUUAGCUUUGGAGCAGCAAUUCUACAUCUUGGAAGGAUUGUUUAUCCUUCUCUGUAUUUACCAUUGAAUAAAUGAAUAUGUUUGUUUCUUAUUAGAAAACCUACAGACAGUAAAACAAGACAAACAAAAGAUUAUGAAGCAAAAUCAUAAAGUUGUACCUAACAAGUGAAGGUGUUUCAAAAUUACAAUUAUGUCCUAUUCCCAUCUUUUUUCAUAAGCCAAAAACUCCCAAUUGAAUUUUAACACUAAUUCACAGACAUAAUCAAUAAAAAUAAAUAAAAAAUAAAAAAUAAAAUUGAUAAGCACCAACAUAAUCAAUAAAAUCGCGAACUAAAAUUCAGAAACAGUGAUUUCUUAUUUUUUUUCAAUCUUUUCUAAGAAACCAAGUGAAUGCCACACAAAGUUCAACAUUAAAGCACCAAUAAAACUAUAAAACACACAUAACAUUCUCUUCUUCUUCGUCUUCUUCUUUGGGAAAAUAAGGGGAAAAAAGCAUGAUGAACCUGAUGACUGAAGCUUCCUGUUCUAUUAUUAUUUCUUUUCUUUUUCCUCAACUUUUCUCAAGACAAUUUCUUCCUUUUCCUACCUUUUCUCAAACAAUCUUUUUCUUUUCCCACCUUUCCUCAUAAACCAAACAAACCCCAAUACAACUCAACAUGAGUAUAGCAUAGUAAAAACUAAAACUUCAUAAUAAAUUAAAAGUUUUUAGUCAAUAAAGAUCAACAAGUACAAUUCAAAAUUUUAAUUUUAUUCCCUUUUCCUUCAUUUUCUAAACAACCAAACACCCCACUCCAAAUUCAACUAAAAAAAAAUACCAUUUCAAUCAUAAAACCCACAAUUAAAAAAAAAAAUGGAAAAGCACACACGCGCGAGUUGAACCUGAUUAGAGGAGGUUCCCCUCUCUGAAAAUUUUACAGUAUCUUUUUUUUUCCCACCUCGUCUCAGAAACCAGACAAACCCGAAUUGAAAAUCGACACCAACACGCCAUAAAAAAACACUACAAUUACACAAUAACUUAAACCAUUCAAUAAAAAUCGUGAUGCAAAAUUCAAAGUGUUAAUUUUUUUUUUUUCUUUGCCAACAUUUUCCGGCCAACCAAACAAACCCCACCAAAAAAUCAACAUGAAAUAGCCAUCAAAACCACAGAACCCGCAAAACAAACUACCGAGAAAACAUGAACUGAACCUGGUGGGCGUCCUGGGAAGGGAUAAUAUACGCAUCAAUUCCAAUUCCGGGCUUCGAGAACAGCUCACGCAGAGAACGAAGCUUCUCAUCCUGCUCGGAAUCGGCAGAUUUCUUCCGAAACUGAGAAGAGGGUUUUGCGGUAAUGGAAGCGCAGUUUCGAACAAGGAAAAUAGGGCGGUUCUGGGAUUUUGGGCAGAAACUGUGGGGACUCUUGAAUUUGUAGAAAAUGGGAAGCGAGUGAGAGAGGAAAUGGAGACAACGGGGAUGCAGCUGAGAAGAACGAGGAGAGAAAGCCGUAGAGAGGGUGAGAGGAGACAUCAGUGAUGAUGCUGUUGACCGCAUGGUUGCUAAUUCAGAGAGAGAGAGAUAAGGCCUCUGCGAGAGAGCCAAGGAUGCAGCACUCCUGGGAGGCGGGGAGAGAAUCCAAGAAAUUUUGGUGUUUGGACAGAGACCCAAAACGGUGCGUUUUGAGGAUGCUCAUAAAACGGUGUCGUUUCCUUUAGUAUUUCCUUAGAAAAAAUUUCCCAAUAUUGUACCCUUUAAAAAUGAAACAAAUAUUAAUUUUGCAUCAUCCACUAACAUAACCAUUAAUGUUUUGAUACAUUGUAUUUGUAUAUUAAGAAAAUACAAAAUAAUAAUAUUUUUAUUUGGAUUUGUUAGGAUAUUUUUCCUAUUUUUUGUUUUCAAAAAUAAAAACUUUUAUAUAAAAAUAAAAAUUAUUAUACAAAAAUAUAUAUACUUAUCUUAUGUCCUUAAAUUUUAAAUUUUAUUUUUAAAAAUAAUUAUAGCCAUGUUUGGCAACUGUUUUUGAAAACAUGAAAAAUAGUUAUUGAAAAUCAUGUUUAAAGAUUGUUUUCUAUUGUUUUAUAAAAUAAAAAUCUAUUUGAAAACCCACUUUUAACAUAUUUUCAAAAUUUUAAAAUAUGUUUGUAAAUGUUUUAUGUCUAGAAAAAAAUGUGAUCAAUUGUAUCAUGUCGUGUAUGCAUAUUUAGUUUUAUUACUUUGCAUUAAAUAUGAUCCCAUUAUAUUUUAAUAUGGUUUUUUUAUAGGGUUUAUUAUACUUUAUCCCCUCGCAAACAUAUACCAUGUUUUGCAUAUUAUCCCCUCAAAUUUAAAAUUGAGCAAUAUAUCAAUCAUGCUUUAUAAUGGUAUGUAUUGUACAUUUUUUGAGUUAUGACAUUACAUUUUUUUAUGGAAUGACAUAUGAUCUUCGCGUUAUUAAAGGUAAAAUUGUCAUUUUUCUCAAUCUGCAAUCUUCAUCUCCCCCGUCAAUGAUUUCUUCUCUUAUUGCAGUUGGUGAAGCCCCAUAUCGAAGUCCUCCCCCUAUUCUUACUUCCCUUCAAAGCCUUAAAAUCUCAAUCCCACAAAGUUGCUACCAAAAACCCCACAUAAAUUCUUCUUGUCCGUUGUUCCUCUUUGUUCAGGGGUUUUUAGUAGCAACUUUGUGGGGUUGGGUUUUAGGGCUUCAAAAGGACAAAAGAAUAGGGGAGGAGGGCCUCAACUUUGGGCUUUACCAACAGCAAUAGAGGAAGAAACGAUUGAUGGGGGAGAGGAGGGUUGCAAAUUAAGGUUAAAAAUAUGAUGAUCCUUGCCCUCACUUCUUAAAAAAUGACCAAUUUGCCCUUGUCACACGGAGAAGAUAUGCCAUUCCCUAAAAAAAUGUUAAAAAUACACAUCGUAUGGAAUUAUAAAGUAUAAAUGGUACAUUAUUCGAAUUUGAACUUGAUGGACCAAUGUGCAAAAUACAGUAUUGGUUGGGGGCAAAGUGUAAUAAACCAUUUUUUAUAUAUAUAUAUUUGAUUUUUUAUUUGUUUAUAUUUUCAAUUUUGGUCAUGAUUAAAACUUUGGAACCUAAAUGGAUACCUAAAAUGUUCCUAAACUUAUGUAUCUUUUGUACAUGGGCAUAAAAGUUGUAAUAGAAAGGAUAACAUUCACUUUACUUUUAUAAAGGUAAGCGCGUUGAAACGCAGCGUUUCGGGAGGGCUCAUACCCACAGUCCCACUUGAGCAGAGUAUCGUGGUGAUCGCCAGAUUCGCCACUGAUCUUCGACCUUGACCUCAACCCCCUGUUGUUGCCUCCGCAGAGCUCCGACCCCACAUCAAUGGCGAUCAUAACUGAAGAAAUCGACGAAAACCCUCGUUCUAAACCGACCCGCGAAACCCCUAAACCAACCCAUAAAACCCCCAAACCACCCCCAACGUCAACCUCACCAAAUCCAUUCUCCUUCUGGUUUUACUUCACUCUCUCAGUUUCUCUUGCCACUUUCCUCUUCUCCUCUCUUCCUUCUCUCUCUCCCCAAGAUCCCAAAUCAUGGUUCCUCUCUCUCCCCACCAACCUCCGCCACCACUACUCCAAGGGUCGAAUCAUCAAGGUCCAGACCGACGCACACCAUCCCCCAUUUGAAGUCUUCACGGUCCAAGAAGGCGCCAAAGCAUCUGAGAAUGUAGUGAUCGUUCACGGUUUGGGGUCUAGUUCGUAUGCCUUUCGCAAUGUUAUCCAAUUUUUGGGGUCCAGAGGGGUUCAUGCUGUUGGUGUUGAUCUCCCUGGUUCUGGGUUUUCUGAUAAAUCGGUGUUGGUGGAGGAAAUGGGAGAUGGUGGGGUUUUAGGGAGGUUUUCGGAGGUUUAUAGUCUUAUUCAAGAAAAGGGCUUCUUUUGGGCUUUUGAUCAUCUUGUUGAAACUGGGCAGAUGCCAUAUGAGGAAAUUCAGAUUCAGGUUUCCAAGAGAAAGAGUGUUAAAGUAUUGGAAUUGGGCCCUGAAGAAAUGGGUAGGGUUUUGGGCCAGGUGAUAGAUUCACUGGGGUUGGCUCCAGUGCAUCUUGUUCUGCAUGAUUCUGCAUUAGGAAUUUAUGCGAACUGGGUUUCGGAGAAUUCGGGUGUGGUGAGGAGUGUGACGCUUGUUGAUACCAUGCUAGGGGCCUCGGCUUUGCCACUAUGGCCACUGGGCGUCCCAGUGGUUAGGGAGGUGGUACUUGGGUUUGAGUUUGUGUUUGCAAGGCUUCUCAACUUGUGUUGUGUGCGAAAGAUUCCUAUUUCAGAUGUGGAGGCACAUAGAGUUCUUUUGAAGGGUAGGGAUGGAGCUAGAGCAGUUGUUGGAACAUGGAAGAAGUUGAAUUCUAGCUUUGAUUUGCAGGAAUGGGGUGAUUCGGAAGGGUUGAAAGGUUUGCCAGUGCAAGUGCUUUGGUCUAGUGGUUGGUCCAAAGAAUGGAGUGAAGGGGGCCGGAAGGUUGCUGAUGCGCUUCCACAUGCUACAUUCAUCACUCAUUCCGGUAGCAGAUGGCCUCAGGUAAUGAUUUAAUAUUUCCUAUUGCCAUUGCCUGAUGUUCAAUGUAUUUGAUGAAACCAUAAGUUUCAAACUCUAGGCUCCAUUUGGCUGAAUAUCAGAUGAUUUGUUCUAAAAAUUUAUAGAUGAGAUGAUUAUGUAAUUAGUUUAAAAUAAUUUGACUUGAGAAUAAAGUGGAUUAAACUCUUGUAUCAAAUGGAUCAUUUAACUACACAUUGGCUUCUGGAGUAGAGUAGUUUCACUGUAAUGCAACUGUGCUACAAUUGAUUGGUGAGUGAGGCUGAUUCUUGUAUGGUCCUGAUUGGGAAAUGGUGUAAUAAAUGGUCCUGAUCAGCUUUACCAGUUAUGUAGUCCCUACAAAAUCAAUGCGCUGCCAGGAGAUCCGGAUCAGUUUCUGAAUGCAACUUCAGUGAAGAAUGACAAUUUGAUAGUUAAAACUGUAUUGCUAAAUGUUUAGGGUUGAAACCAUUGAAGUUUGUUGCUGCAUUUAGAUGUUCUUUGCAUAUUAUGUCCACCAAAAGUAUUGUGUUGGUGACAGAUUUUGGAUUUGCCUUGCCAAUCAUGUCAUCCAAAAUAAUUGAGGAAUGGAAGAUUGUAAAUCUGUAAUAUAGAUCUUUCUGUCCCAACAUUUGCAGUGUUGAUUGAAUUUUGAAAAAGUUGGAAAAGACCAGCAACAACAAUUUUUCAAGCCAGCAAUUAGGUUGGCUGAAUUCUAGCUACUUUUGUGAUGUGAUCAAAAGAAAUGUUUGUGCCGUUUGUUUUAGCCUUUUGGUAUUCUAAGCAUUUUAUAACUAAUAGAUUUUUGGGUUGGCCUGUGGUCUCCUUUUUGACCUUUUCUGUACUCAUGUUUGAAUUCUUUUUUUCUCUCAAGAAAGUCCUCCUUUCCUUUCAUCUUCCCAUUCUUAAUAAAAUUGCCAUCCCUAAGAAAAGGAAGAAAAUCAUUGCCAUAAUAGAUCAUGGCUCCCAUCAUUCUCUUGGAAAUUAUUGUAACAUUUAUCCCUCCAUUUUUCUAGCACUUUAGGGCAUUGUUUUGGUUUCAGGCUGUGGUUAGUUGUUUGUCUUUUCCUUUGCUUGCAUUUGGACCUUUUUGUAUACAUCGUGUGUACUUGGUGCACCAAUUCCAAGUGCUUUUAAUAUAUUUAUUUAUUUACCUAUUUAGAAAAAAAAAACAUUUAUACAGAAGAAACUGUUUCCACCAUUUUUGUUUGACAUGGUCCAUUGUGAAGAGAGGCAUAUCCAUCAACCCACCUGCUUCCUUUUGUACAUUUCCAGUUUUCUAUCCGAUCUCAUCAUUUCAUUUUCUUUUUAUAAGUAAUUUGCAUAAACAUAUGUCGACACAAGUAGUUGGGAUAAGGUGCUUUUCAGUUGAGUUCAUUUUCUGCAAAUGGAUCGCCCAAUUAAAAACAAAGAAAUCAUAACCACUGAUCAAUUCAAUUCAUUUUUAGCUUUUAUACUUUCUUUUGUUGAUUGAGCUAUUGAUAGAUCAGGAAACCACUGCACUAAUCCUAUUACUGGUACAUGUUGUUACAUGUGCCGUUGUCUGCUUGCCAUGUUUGAGGCUCUUGCAUUCUGUAACCGAUGAACAUGACCUGUACAACUCAAAGCCCUUUGCUACCCAAUAUAAAAGACAUGUCAAAACUCCUAUUAUGCUCAUUUCUUUAAUCUAGGCAGAAACAAUUAACUUUGUGUUUGCCUGAAACUAGCAAUCCAUUGUUCUUGUAAUCAUAUAUUUUUUAUUACUGUAGCUCCAAUAUUUUGUGUUUGAUCAUCUCAGGAAGAUGCAGCUGAUGAGCUGGCCGAAAACAUUCUUCGAUUUGUGUCCUCGUUACCAAAAUCUGUCAGACAAGUUGAGGAAGAGCCUGUGCCCGAGCAUAUCCAGAAGAUGCUCGAUGAAGCACAAGGCGGUGACCAUCAUCACCAUCACCAUCACCAUGAUCAUGGUGCCCAUGGUCAUGCUCAUGAUCAUUCAGACGGUUACAUGAAUGCAUAUGGGCUUGGUCAUGGGUGGGCGAGUUGAUCCAUUUCCUACUAACAUUCACAAGUGAACCCUACCAGGCAUGAGCUUCCCUCAGAUCCCUGGGUGUUGCUUCUCUGGUAUCAUACUGUGCCAUUCUCUUCGAAGUUCUCUAUGCCAGAAUCAUAGUGAGAGAGAUUGUUGUUUUGAAGCUUUGAAGCUUUUGACUUAUCAGUGAAUGUUUGUGAAGACCAGCUUAUCUAUCAAAUUGGGUAGUCUUCUGAUUUAUCUUCACUUACAAGUUACAUCUAGUUUGUUGUUUUCUGUACUUUGUAAGUUUGUAACUAAGCUCUUUGGUUGCAAUGAGACACUGGUUGACUCAAGCUUGUCUGGAUUCUAUUAUUUCUGAAAGUGUGAUACCCAUGAUUUUGGAAUGAUUAUGAUCAUCUAUUUAUAUUUAUUUGCUCGGACUAUGUUUGGUUCUGGAAAAAUUGAGAGAAAAUGCGAGGGAAAGAAAAUAUAAAGAAAAAAAUAAAAUAAAAAACGUAAAAUCAAUAACUCAUUUUUAUAUACUAUUUCAAAGUGAUUUCACAUAUUUUAACUACAAUGCUAACUUGGUAGGUUGGUUGGGUUGAUGGUUAAUGUGAAACUAAUAUGAAUUAAAAAAUAAUCAAUUCGAGUCUAACACAAUCCGAGGUAUUUGAUCCAAGGUUAUUUUUUUAGUUUUCAUGUUGUAUAAAUCAAAAUUUAUUCAUAAUGUUUUUCAAAAAAAAAUACCAAUGUAUUUAUAUCCAAUUUCAAAUAGUAAAGAGACACAAUUCCAAAAUAGUAAAAAAAAAAAAAUUACAUAUAUUUUCAAAAAAAAUGAAAAAUGUACAUAUAUGAUUAUAGUUUAUUAUUUAAAAAAAAUCUAAAAAUUUAUGAGAGAAUAAAAAUUUAUAAAUAUUAUAAAAAUAUUAAAUCAGUUGGUUAGAUUUUGGUUGUCUAAACCUUAAUAUAAACUCAACUUAAAUUAAAUUCCAGUUGAAAAAACUUAAUUAAAAGUCGACUCAAGUAUUAAAAAUUAUUUUCUUAAAUUAAAUUCGAGUUGAAAAAACUUAAUUAAAAGGCAAUCAAAGUAUUAAAAAUUAUUUUCUGAGCUCGUCUAGAGAUAGGAUUUAAUAUCAAGUAUUGCAUCCUCAAUUUCACUUUUUUUAAUAUAAAAAUAAAUAAUUUUUAAAAUAUUAGUUUUAAAUUUAUUUUAUUCUAUUUUUUGGUAUUUUCUAUAGUUGAUUCAAACACGAGAAAAUAAUUUUUUUAAUACUUUCUUAAAACCAAAUAUAAUACUACCUUAUGUAAAGUUGAAAUAUUAGUAAUAUUUCAAUUAUAUUUUGGAUAAUUUUUUUUUCUUUAUAAACAAAAAUAGUUUUAACUCAUUAAUCAUAUAGAAGACGUUUGAUAAUGAUUUUAGGAAGUGUUUUAAGUUUUUUUAAUACUUUAAAAAUAAAAAUUUCCCAAGUGUUAAAAAAUGUCAAAAACACUUUAUAGAAUCAAUACCAAAUGUAGUCAUAGUAUGACUCAAAAUCGAAAAAAAUAUUUAAUCAAAUGAGAUUUAUCUCAAAAAGAAAAUCAAUUCAUUAAUUACAACUAACAGAAUUGAUUACGAACAAAUAAGAACAUUUUUAAAAAUAUUGUAGAUAUGGACUUUUAUCUUAUAUCUAUUGAUUAUAAAAAUAAGAAUGACUCUUGUAUUCAUGGAUCAACAUUACAACUAAAUAAUCGUUGACAGAUAGGAGGUUGGCCGCAUUCAUCAACUCUCUUUGUAUUCGAAUGUCGUAGGGCGUUUUGAUGAAUAUAUUACAAGGUAAGGAUAUGCAUUUUUUGUGACAAUAAUUGUUUUUAGCAUAGUUGGUAGCGGUUAAGGUCUUACAAGUGGUAGUAAAGUUAAAGUCAUGAAUUCAAACAUUAAUGGUUUAGUUCGAGGAGAGAUUAUUGGCAGAUUGAAAUAAUCACCCAAUAUAAUUCUUAUAAUCACAAUACACAUCCAUUUUUGCUUUAGAAAAAAGGUCGAUAUCAAGGUAUGAAUCAAUAUAUUAGUAUCAAUAGUAAUAAAAAUACAAGAUGGAUUGAAUAAUUAAUAAGAAAGAUAUGUUUUAUCAAGUUAAGAACAAUUUCAAUGCAUUUGUUUUUUCAAAUAAUUAAUGUAUCAAAAUAUACAAAAUAAUAUACAUUUGAUACUAAGAAAAUGAAUAAAAAAACAAAUUAUUUUUGUAGAUCAUCCGAUGAAUAAAACGAAAUAGACUAAAUACAAACCGAUGCAAAUAAGAUAAUUAUGAUUGAAUCAUUAGAAUGAUUCCAAGUUUCACCUUAUUUAACAUAAUCAUUUGCUUUGAAUUUUAGUUAGGUGUUAAAGUAGAAAUUAUAUUAGUAAAGAAUUCUCAUAUAAGUUAUAAAAAAAAGUUAGAAAAUAUGAUAUCUUAAAAAAUAAAUAUUUAUUUUUACUUUUAAAUAGCCAAUAAAUUAAAUUCAAUAAAAUCCUUGAGGAAUUUUCAAAAUAAUUUCCUGAGGCCCGGUGCACCAAAGGGAUGGUGCACCGGAUCCACCGGACAGUCAAAACGGACGUUCCUGUUAUCGAUAUACCACUUGACUGAAGUAAGCCAGCGUCCAUGUAUCUCGUUCCUUAAAUCCUCUGUUUGGCUCUCUAGAGAAUUGGGGAAAAAAUGGAAAAUUUUUGACUCGAUUCUUUCGGCUCUAUCUGUUGCAGGCAACCCAUUUUCUCGGCGUCCAAACGGACCUCAAAAUGGGAUGUUGCGGCGAUGAAGAAGAGGAAUUCCUCAAACACCUCAUGCCCAACUUCUCUGAAACCCUAACCUUAGGCUCCACCUUCCAAGCAUCCACUUCCGGCGACUCCGACGCCGUCAUUUCUGCGAUGAACUCGCACUUCUCGGCCCUCACCUGCCAGGACGUCCUCAGGGGCAUUUUCGAGAGGCUUCCGGUUGCCGAUCUAGCUCGGGCGAGUUGCGUGUGCCGAGUCUGGAACUUGGUGGCCUCGGACAGAGGGAUCCAGGUUCGAGCUUUUAGGGCUCCGUGGAAAUUGAAGGACGUGGUUGGAAUUCCGAGCUCCGGAAGCUUCUGGAGAGAUGAUAGUCUUGGAAAAUUUGCAAUCUCUCAUCGGUUGGUGCGCGGUGACUCUGUUGCUAGCCUUGCCGUGAAAUACUCUGUUCAGGUAUUGUUUGGUUUUCUAGAAAAUGAAGGAAAAAACGAAAAGAAGCCAAAUGUUCUGGUUGUUAGACUAAUGUAUUUGAUUUUGAUUAUUUUCAAUGCAACUGGAAUAUGGGAUUCGAACUCAGAAUUUUCUUUUUUUUUUCUUUGAUUUCUCAGCUACCAAGCGGACAUUAUCUCUCCAUUUGGUGGUUUAGUUAAUUUAGUUCAGAUAUCAAAUCCGAUUUGGCUGUUUGGCUGCUGAGAUAGCAUGGAAAAGAGAGGAAUUUAGAAUCUUCUAUUGUCCAUUCAUUGCUUUGAUAAUGAAGGAGCACAAAUAAAAUAAAAUAAAAUAAAAUCGCAUAGAAGCAUUUUAACACUAGUAAAAAGAAGGUCUAUGCAAGAUGAUACCAUACUAGAUAUACAUGCGUACUGCAAGAUCAAUGAAUGUCACAACCCACUUCUGCAAUAAUAUUUCGAAUUAGGGAACUUAUAAGAUAGUUGGUGAGUACUGGCUUGCCCAAGUGGUUUACAAACAGAUGCUAAGUGUUUCUUAGGGACCUUAAAAUGCAUGAAAGCAAGCUGUUAUAGCAGAUCAAUGGUCAUACAACUUUGCUUUGGGUCAGUUUGUAUUUGGGAGGGCUUCUUCACGCCUUCAAGUUUGAUUUGGGGGUUUCUAGCUAGCUACACAGUAAGUUGGGUGAAAGGGUAGGAUUGCAUGUCUUGCACUCUUUCAGCCUUAUUAUGAAGGUUAUUACCUGAUGCUGAUACCAUUAAAACAGGGCCCCAGGAGACACAAGUUAAAUAUGGUCCUAACCUUUGGCAUUUUUCAUGAUGUGGUUUCUCUCAAUACUCAAGUCUCUGCAUCUUUUGAUUUCUUUUAUAAGCUAAUUAGGGUUUCUAGCUAGCUACACAGUAAGUUGGGUGAAAGGGUAGGAUUGCAUGUCUUGCACUCUUUCAGCCUUAUUAUGAAGGUUAUUACCUGAUGCUGAUACCAUUAAAACAGGGCCCCAGGAGACACAAGUUAAAUAUGGUCCUAACCUUUGGCAUUGUCCAUAAUGUGGUUUCUCUCAAUGCUCAAGUCUCUGCAUCUUUUGAUUUCUUUUAUAUGCUAAUUGGGGAAUGAUGGUUUUCCAUCCGAGUUGGAAGUAGAUUGAUGGAGAAUUGGCAUGGACAGGCAUACAGUGGAUUGAAUUGAAGAAAUGAUCAGGUAUUAAAUCCCUAGAUUUGUUGAUUAUGGUCCAUUUGGGGCUAGAGCUAGAGUUGUAGAGAAGCCACAAACAAACCAUAAAUCCGCAUGUAGGGAUUUGAGAAAGUAGGGGAAAGAGAGUCUGGUGGAGAACGUCAGAAUAACAAGCUAGGGUUUGUGUGAGCAUUAAUUGCCUCUUUAAGCUUCUUGAGAAAUCUGUUAAGAUGACGCUCUUGGGCUGGGAUGAGUCUUUGUGGGAAAAAAGAGAAGGGAAGUUUGGAGAGCAGACCCUUUAUGUAUUUUUUGGACGGUUUUGAAGACAAAGAACAAAAUUGCAUUUGAAGAUAAUGUGCUGUCCAUUCAAAGACUUAAGAGCUCUUUUGUUUAUUUUCUAUGGUCGGAGACGAAAUUAUUCAUAAAAGAUGGUCCUUUGACUUUAGUUGGUUUCAUUGAUUGGGUGGGAUCUCGAUGAGGGUGGUUUUUUUGGCUCCUCCGCUUUUGAUGGCCGUUUUUUUGUCCCAGCUGGGGUGGGGGGUGCAUCUCUUCUGAAUUUUUUUGAGUUGCUAUUUUAGCGUCUCUUUUCUAUACAAUUUCUUCUCUUUUACUUAUAUAUAAAAAAAAAAAGCUUCUUGAGAAAUCUGGGAAAAGAAAGUUAGAUGAAGAAAGUGGAAAUAAAUCAUUACGGUCAGUAUGAAUGCCAACAGGUAAGAUUGGGGUUUGAGGGAAGAAAAAUGCUCAUAGGAGUUUGAAAGCUAGGGGAAAGAAUGUUGAAAACUAUUGAAAUUGACCUCAGGUAAAACUUCAUUGGAAUAUUGUAUAUAAUACCUAUCAAAAAACAAAAAAAUUGUAAAUAAUAGUAUUGCUACAUGUUAUUCUGACAAAGGGAUUUAAAAUCCUCAAUAAUAGCUUCUAGAUAAAUCCAGCCUCUUGAACUUAUCUAGUAAGCUCUAGGGUGCAACCAUACAAGAACUAAUGCAUCAGAUCCCAUGAGAACUCAGCACAGUGUGCUUGGCCAAGAGUGUUGCUUGGGAGGGACAUCCCAUAGGAAGUCCUCAUUUUGACCCCUUCAAAGUGGAAACGAUAGAAACAAUAAUGUUUUUUAAUAAAUAAAUAAAUAAACCUAAGCUAGUAACUUUCUUCCUUUGCCUGGGUGGUGUCAUCUAUCUACUUUGUGCAGGUGGUCUGGGGUCUGAACCUCCAUGAGACUCCUCCAUGAAGGUGUGUGUAAUAGAAUACCUCCAUUAGUGGUGAGAAUAAUUGAGAGAGAUGGGAUUUUUGUGUUGGCUAGUAAUAGUUAAGAAAUGACUGGAUGAAAUCAAAUUACAGGGUUGAAUAAGUUAAUAUUCUUAUAUAAAUUUGAAAGAUAGAUGUUAAUUCAAAAGUGCAAUAUUUGGCACAGCCUCGUUACUUGUUUUUUGUGUUAUCCCAUUUUUCUUAGAGGCCUUAACAUUGACUGUAGCAUGCUGAAUGAUUCAAUGAUGGAGAUCAGUCUUCCCUGUUGUGGCAACUUUUGUUCCCAUAGUUAUACAUUCCUUGAUUGCACAGAGAUUGAUUUUCUGCUAUCAUUUUCCACUAUUUAGAUUUUCACUUCUUGAAGGAAAGCUUCUUCGUUUACCCCCUUUUGUUGUUAACCAGAAGAAUGCAUUGCUGUCCUGAAAACAUUUUUCUUGUGUUUGCAGGUUAUGGACAUAAAACGUUUAAACAACAUGAUGAGUGAUCAUGGCAUAUACUCGAGGGAGAGGUUACUGAUCCCUGUAAGCAAACCAGAUAUUCUUAUCAAUGCCAUCUGCUACAUAGAGCUGGAUUCCUAUGCAAAAAGGGAAGUAGCGG